GAUUUGGAUGGUCAUGUAUAUAAUUGUGACAACAGAGAGAGAGUUUGUCGUGUAGCGGGCAACAUGGGGUUCAACUUUUUGGGAUUUGUGGAAAAGAAGGUGACUAAAACCGACAUUUCAGCAAUGGAUUGAUAAAAAAUCAAGAAUAAAGAAAGCAAGAAAAUGAAGGGUUGUAGGGUAGGUAUAGGAUAGGACAGCUUUGUGUAUUUUGCAAUAAGAAAAAACACACUCUCUCUAGCUUUUUAUUUUUUUCUUUCUUUCUCACUCUUUUGUUUUGAAGAGUCUUUAAACGCAUAUUCAGAGAUGGGGGGUGAAUGUGGUGAUUAAUGUUACAAACUUGCUUUUUUGUUGAGAGAAGAGAACCUGAUGCCCUUUUGAUGUGUGAGUGGGUGAUGCUGUUUUUCUCUCCUUCUCAUUUCUCUCUCUCUCUCUCUCUCUCUCAGAACAGUACUCAUAAACGCCUCAUUUCUCUCUUAUUGUCUUCUAAAAAUCUCCUUGAAAAAUGGCAAGUCAAAUUCCCAAGGUUUGUAUGCCCUAAUCUUCUGUUCUACCUCCUUCAUUCUGGAUCUCUUCUACAUCUACUCUGGCAGCAGCCAUCUUUUUUCCUGGGUCUGUUGCUGGACUUGUUCUUUUCUCACUUCUUUUGAACGUUGAAACUUACUUAUUAACUAUGAUUUCACCAUCUCUUUUGUCUUCUGAGCUUCUGGGUUCCUUCAAUUCUUUCUGUUUCUUAGCCCCAAGGAUAAUGGCCAAUUACAUGGGUUUAUGCUGGAUUUCGUUUAUUAUCUGUUCAACUAUUUGAGAUUUGGGUUUUUUUUGGUUUGUCUGAACUCUCGACUAUAAAUCCAGUUCGACAGUUUUUUUUUUUUUUAACCUGUAAAUCUCUCUCUCUUUGGUUCCUUUCCUAAAAGCUUUCUUCGCUCGCUGCCCAGCUGAAUUUCUUGUGCAGCGUUAUAUUUUCCUAUUUAUGUAACACUCUUGCCUUUAGUAUUCUCUAUUAUCUUAAUUAUGAUUUGCCUUUUUAUGGGAUUUGAUCGUUUCUUGAAACUUUGGUCGUGGAUGAUGUUAUCAUUUCAGGACUUUAUUACUCUUUGGGUUCGCACACAUAAAAUAACGCUCCCAUGAAAUUUAGACUUUAUUGAACAACAUCUUUCCUUGCGGGUUAUAUGCUUUACUUGAUCAAUCAAAACGCAGAUGCCUCAAAUUCACUCCUUCUCUUCACAUAAAAUAACGUUCUAGACUGUAGAAUCUCCGACUGCCUUCGUCUCAUGUGUCUUCCUUGAAACUCUUGAUCUCAUCACCUCUUUCUUCUCUCUAUUGCAGGCUAAAUGGUUGAAGAUUCGAGUGGGAUUGUUUGACCCGAAUACUGCUUUCUGUCGCUGCUGCUUCGCGUGGAGGUUCGGGGUUACCACAAGCUACAAUUAGAGAGAAAUAAGAGACAAUCAAAGAGGAAGAGAGAGGGGUUUUGUUAUGCUGAAGAUAAGGGGCAGUGCUGGAGAUAGAAGCAGUAUCAGUGUGCUUGUGACUGUUGUACAAACAGCACAAGAAGAGAGAAGCCUUUCAUCAGAUGUUAUCCAUUCAAAACCCUCCACCAGAUGCCCCAUGUCCUUGUCAAUUUCUAGUACAGCUGAAAAGUGGUGGUGAUGAGAUCGAGAGACCUCAUAAACUUCCUUUGCCUGAAGUAGAUCUGCUAAAGCAGCCGUCUCUUGAUAAUCAUCAUCAUCAUCAUCAUCCUAAUAUCCCACUCCCCGAAUUCUCCAUAAGGUAAUUUAAUUUGUGUUCCUUGUCCUCUAUCUAGCGUUAUCUUCAGCUCGAAAAUGAAUAGUAACCUUGAUGCGUUUUCUCAUGGCGUUCUAACAGCUUCUCUUUUAUCUUUUCUUAAGACUUUUCUUGGGUCAGAUCCAGAGUUUGAUGUUACCUGGUGACUCAGUUCAACAUGGGGCCUAACUAUUGACACACCCUAAUCUUGUCCCUAUUUUGGUCUUUGGAGGGGGCUUUUGCUUAUGAACUCCUUCACGGCACUUAAUACCUCCAGCCAUAAGAUGAUAUUAGUCAACCUGUAGUUGGCUCUUAUUUCUUGGUUGGGUCUUUGAUUUCACGUCACUUUGUACUUGGGAUUUUAUCUUGGAGCAAACUGCUGGGAAGUUCUUGCUUUGUCUUUGCUACCUGUGUACUUGUCUCAUCCUUUACCAUAUCAUGCAGCAGGCUGAGAGUACUUUCAUUUUUCCUUUUCUUUUUUGCGGGGGUUCAGUUUAAUAGAUUACUGAAUCUUGGGUUUUGUUUUGCUUGGCUGUUUCUUUGCUGUUGAUGUGUUCCUCUCCUUCGAGUAUUUUUAUGGUCCAUGUGUCCCCCUCCUUCCUGAGUUGGCAUACAAUGUCAUUCUUCUAAAUUUUAACCUUUGCUUCCCCUAAGAAAGCUCGUGGAUGAGUUAUUACUUCUUUUAUUAGUAACCCUUUGAGCAUAUAUGAAUUUUUGAUGAAUUUUAUCCCAGUACUGACAACAGAGAACAUCUUGUACUGUAGAGAUUAUGUGUUCACUGCCCGAGGCAAGGAUAUCAAGAAGAAUUGGCCGUUUUCUCCAAAAAAUUUGCAACUUUGUCUGAAGCAUGGCUUGAAGGAUCCAUUGCCACCAUUUCAGCCUCUUGAUGUGGUAAGAAACCAAUCCGUAGAGAGAUGUGUGGUUGAAACGAAUCCAUUUGAGAGGCAAAAUACAAGGAAAUUCGAUGAAGAGCCAUCUGGGCCAAACGAUCAUAUGGUACUAGAGUCAUCCAAUAAUGCUUACUCAAACCAUAACCUAGCAGGUAUUUGCAUAGACGAUAGCUUGUGCAGAUCCGGAGGAGAACAUGAAAAUGAUUUACCCUCCACAACGACAAGUGUUUCUCAAUCUGAAAUAGAGUCGGUUUUGAUUAACAAGGAAUCCAACUUACCAUUAGAAACCGAUACUUCAGUGGAAGCAUCAGCUGAAGUUCAAGCUGCUGUUCCUUUUAAGUCCCAUAAGACCGAAAACACAACCCGACCCACAGGAAAGAAGUGCAGAUUAAUAGUGAAAUUUGGUGCCCAUUCUGAUCGUAGCUCGCCUGAAGAUAUUGCUUCAAAUUGUACCAUGCUAUCUGAAUCGAUGGCUUCUAAAGUUUGCCCUGUUUGUAAAACUUUUUCGUCCUCUUCUAAUACCACCUUGAAUGCUCACAUCGACCAGUGUCUUUCUGUUGAGUCAACUGCCAAGUGGACAGCGGAUUCUAAGCUUACCAGGCAUAGAAUUAAACCAAGGAAGACAAGACUGAUGGUGGACGUAUAUGCUACCGCUAAAUCAUGCACAUUAGAAGAACUUGACAGGAGGAAUGGUACAAGCUGGGCCACCGCGUCAAAAAUCCCUAGACAGGAUUCUGAGAGACUUGAAAUAUCUGAUGAUGGGAAAAAGAAAAGAGUCUCCCCCAUUAAUCCCGAGGAUACUAGUGAUGCAGGUGCUGUUUAUGUUGAUGCCAAUGGUACCAAACUUCGGAUUUUAUCAAAGUUUAAUGAUGUGCCACCAGUGUCAAAAGUUGGAGAUGAUCUUGGAACGCACAAAUCUUUGAAAGGAGGUAAAGGAAGCAAAUUCUUUUCAACCAAAAAGAAAAGGUGCCAUGCCCCAAAACAUCACAAGUAUCUCAAACUUGCUCCUCAAAGCAGAAAAUUUUUCUCGCAUAAGACCCGUUCUUCAACGGUAUGACUCUCUUUUCUCCAUAUGGAUCUUCUGUCCUUUGUACCAGAUUAUUUUAUAUUUCUUUCUUAGGUGCAUUUGAAGAAAUUUUCGGUGUGUAUUUGUUGUUAACUAGCUGAUUGGGUUAUCUUUCUAAAUGCCUAGAAAACAUAAGUAUUUCUGAAGUGAAAAUUAAACAACCAUAUAUGCCCUUAGUUGCAGAAUCCUCUCCAUGUUUUUGUAGUUUGUGAUUAUAACUUUAGCAGUGGCCGUGGUAUCCACUUAGCUGCCAGAAUAAUAGGGUGUAAAAUAUAAAUGCUUUCUUGACCUAAACAAAAUUUGACUUAUCAUCUUUGAUGCAAAUUUUGUAAUCUAAGAAUUUAGUAUUGGAAAUCAAUACAGUUGCUAUACCGUUUUUAAACAGAUGGUUGGAGGACAAGAAGGAUACUGUGGAGUAGAAGAAAGACCUCGACCACAUGUGCCAAAGCAAAUCAAAUCCAAUGAUUCUAGAAACUUUAGAGAAAGGGUGUGCUCUAAACGAUCAGGUCUUUCAGGGAAGCCUAAUAAUCAAGAUGGACAUCAACCUUUGAUUUGUAAACAGCAUGUUUCUCGGGGCUUGCGGGUUCAGAGUCACCAAUCACAUCAAGGUGAUCUUGUUGUGGAGAGAAAUUGUGUUCGCAAGCUUAAAAAUUCAUCUGAAAGUCCAAUUUCUUCUCCUGAGAAAUGUGAGAGCAUAGAGAAGCCUGUUUAUGAAGCCCCAGUUAUUGAUAAGAGGGAGCCUUCUACGGGAAAAAAGGGAGUAAGGAGUCCCUUGUUUGGAGCCAGAAUCUGUAACAAGGUGGAGAGGUCUUUUCACCCACUUAAGCAAAAUGCAAAUCAGUUGAGCAAAGACCAUCCCCAUCUAGAUGAGGAUUAUAUGGUGAGAUCUCUAAACUCUGGUGGAAAUUGCUCAUCUUCAUGGAGCAAAAAGAUGGUUGAUAUUGGUGCAAAUAGUAAUCCCGAUACUCUAGUUGCUGCUAUUUCACCUAUCAGUCAUCUUUCUUCUGCAUCCAAAUGCUUCAGAUUUUCCUCACCAAAGAAAAAUGUGCGGUCUUCUAGCAGCCAGUCAUCCAUGGUUAAAUCUAGUUCUAGCUUGGUUAAGAAUUAUUCAACAAGGGAGAGUCAACUGCAUUUUAUGGCAGAAAUAGAUGAGAAGGAAGUGGCCUGGGAUCUUGAGGCAGAUCAAGAAUGUGACUUAGUGCAUGAUGGUGCUAAAAAUCAAUGUGAGGGGAAAGAAAUUUCUGAAGAAAUGUCAUUUGGUGGAAGCGGUAUCCAGGGAGCCGAAGAACAAAGAGGAAGAAAAAGUAUUUCCCGGAGGGAGGAAAGCAUGGCUUUGAUGAGCAUAAAAUCAGUACCUCAUGGUUAUGAUCAUGAUGAGAGAGAGAACUCAGAUUCUUCUGUAAGAGGUAGUCAUCAGGAUAUUCUGUAUAAAGUUGAUGGUUUGGAAUCUAUUGAGGAGACGCUUACUAGUUUGAAUCAGUCAGUAGAAACCAAGUUUAACAAGCUGAGUAAUCUUUCCAAGAAUAGAUCCAAUUCUUUACAGACUAAUGAAGAUUACAAUGGGCCUUUGUGUGGGGUUGAAGGACUGGCUGACCCUGCUGAGCCAAGUCUUGUUGAAAAACCAAAAAUGUUUUGUGCUGAUGUUGGCCACACUAUAAUUGGACAUACUGCUAAUAUGGGAGGAGAAUUAGAUUCUGAUGCUGCACAACGGAAUUCUUUUCCUGAGGUUGAUCCAAUACCUAUUCCUGGUCCACCAGGAUCAUUUUUGCCUAGUCCUAGAGAUAUGUGCUCUGAUGAUUUUCAAGGGAAUUCGUCAUUGACCAUCAGCCGGAUUCAAUCCUCUCAAGAUCAGCUUGAUUUGGUUGAUGGGGACUCAUCAGAUUCACCCAUAUCUGCUGUGUCAACAAUCUCUAAUUCUGCAGAAGCUAGGUUAGAUUUGAAGUAUGGAGAACCAUUAGCAUUUGCUGGUGCUCCUGCAGCUCUAAAAAUGGAUAGGUCUGGCUACUCUACUGCCAAGUCUGAGCCCUUAGUUGGGCACGGUGCCGUUGUUCCACAUACAAGCUCAGGACCUGAAAGAACUUUUGAAGGAGAGAAGUUUAGAGCCCGUAGAAUAUCUUUUGAAAAGAGACCUUUGAUUUUUAAAAAUGAUGAUCAGACAUGCUGUUGCCAGAGAAAAGACAGAUCCUCCCAGGGUUUUGCCCUGAAUUAUCAGGAGUCCCAACUAUUAAGGCGACGAACAAUGGCUUCAAUGAUGGUGCCUGCCAUGGGAAUGCCAGUCGGUGCCAAUCCUAAUAUCAGUCCUAAUAAUUUGGAUGCAAGACCAGAAACAUUUUCUCUGAGCAGCAGUACAAGUUUAGGAUCUGAACAAAUGGUUCUACCUGUGAUCAUGAAACCCCCUUCAGGUCCCAUUCCUUUUAAAGGAUUUCCUGAUGCUGGUGUCAAGCUUUCCAGUCGUGGUGUCUGUGAUUCUGCUAGCCCACCUUCUUCUAAUCCCAUUCUCAGGCUGAUGGGAAAGAAUUUAAUGGUGGUUAACAAAGAGGAAGACGCAUCUGUGUCACUUGGUCAGGCCCAGUCAUGUGCCCAGAGUAAUCGUCUAACUCCUAACUUUCCAACUUCUUCUGGAAUCUCUCCUAGCAAUAUCCGGAAUCAAGGUGGCCAGCCCGUCCAUCACACAACGUCUCAGGGUUUUUUAUUCUUUGAUCAGAAUCCAAAUUAUUUGGUGGGGCAAUCUUUUGAUGUCCGAUUGACAAACGGCUAUAGAAGCCGUGCAAAUCUUGCAAAACCAGAAACACCUGUGCAAUUUCCAGCCGGCAUGUUUUUCAAUGGGCAUAUGGACUGUGGUUUCACAACCUCCAUGGAGCUGUACAAGUGUGAAGAUAACUAUAAUUUGCCAACUCGGCCGAACAGACCUAAGAACAAAGUAGGUUCAGCAGCAACAUAUGAUAUGGAGAAAGUUGCAAGCCUAGACUGCGGACAUAGGAAUAUUGGGGAUUCUGCCGUUUCCAGUAAAGAAAUCAUUGUCAUUGAUGAUGCUCCUGAAAGUGAAACAAAUAAGACUGCCGAUGUUGCCGAACACUCUGCGGGCUUGAGGGAAUGCCCACUAAUAUUAUCUGGUAUUUCAAUGCCAUUAGUUCCUAAUCAUAGUGUACGGCACAGGAAUCCUUUUCAUUGUUAUCAGUCAGAUGGCACUUUUCUAGGUGACCCAACUAUCCUACAAGAUAACAACUUUAAUGCAAUCCCUUCCGGACGAGCCAAUGCUAGUCCUGUUAGGCGGGAUUGCUCUUCGGAAGGUUCUGGUCAUGUGCUGCAGCAGGCUCCUCUUAUGGCUGCAUCGCCCUCAACAGGCUAUCUGAGAUCUGCACUUUACUAUUCUUCAAGUUUCUCUUAGCAGCUUUGCUUGGGAUGGGAAUUGUUAGAAGGUCUGUGCUGUGCAUCAGCAGGUUUCAUGUCAAACUUGUACUGAAUCUUGAGCUUCUUGAUGACUAAUGACAGACAGAAACUUUUGGGCUUCAAAAAUGAUUUUCAACAACUAAAUAUUGGCAGUUUGAUCUAAUAGAUUCAAAGCAAGUUCAGCGAUUGAGAUCUCAGAGUUUGUAUUUAUUUUUUAUUCAUUUACUGUUGGGUAAACUUUUUGCGGUUUUUGAGGCUUCUGCUUAGACAAUUAGAAAGUUAUCACAAAGACUAGAUAAUGUAUAAGCAAUCCUUGAAUAAAAACUGAUUACCGACCUUGGCUUCAAGCCAAAUGGAGUUAAAAGUGCUCCUAUAGAAAUAUUUAUCUUGUUUUUCUAAUUUUAUUUUUUUCUUUGGAGUUGUUUUCACGUUUUCAAAUGACUUAGCUUGUGAAUCAAGGCAAUGAUUUUGUCAAUCUGACCAAUGAAUGGUGUACUGUGGACAUUAUGAUCAGUGAUCAGUUUCAAUGUCUAUUUGUCGUAACCUGUGCAGCUUUAGGAAUUCAAAUAGGAGUACUGUAGAAUGAUGAACUUUCAAAAUCGUUUAUCAGCAGAUGAACUCAAGAUCGUUGAAAUCGGCACACACAUAUAUAUAUAUAUAUAUAUAUAUUGGCUCUGCAAUGAUAUAAAUAGGACGUGUAGAUAUAGAUGUGAACAGUCUGUGAGUGUGUGGCAACCUGUGGUGCAUGAUGAAGAUAUAUUGUAAUAGAGAAGAGCUUUGAGUUCAUCUUUUUCACGGCUGAGCCAUUGACAACUCAGUGUGAGAAUCCUGCAUCCAUGGCAGCAUAUUAGCAUGCUCGUGUGACACUAUAGAUGCUAGUUUAUUCAGUGAGGAAAAUGUCGGUGUAGGUGAGAACUUCAAAGGUGAGAACUUCAAAGUUGCAGCUGGAUGCUAAUUAGUACACAUAGAUAGAUGGAUGAGUAUUACAUAAAAUACAAAAUCUAUCGGGCAAAGGAUUAAAAUUUAGGCCCCAUUUGUUUUUGAAGGCAGCGUUAGUACAAUGAAAUUGAAAUAUUUUUUUUAUUCAACUGCACCGGUAUAAUCCAUUUGGAUAACUUACGGUGCAGUGAUUAACUAUACUGAUGCAAUAAUUUUGCGUGGGAGAAAAAAAAAAUUCCAGUGAGUAACUACAUUGGACUUUUUUGCCAUAAUACUAUAUUUUUAGUUUUUAAUUUCUUUUUAUUAUCAUCUUUUAAAAAAUAAUUAUAAAAUAUUAUUAUAUAAAUAAAUACAAAAAAUUAAUUAAAUAUUACUUUAUUAAGUUUUCAUUUAUGUAAAUAUAUUAUUAUAAAAAAUUUUAAUAAAAUUAUUAUUUGACAUAAAAAUAAUUUUAUUAUUUUUUAAAUUAUUUGUUAACUUAACAAAUGACAAAUAAUUUAAAAUUUUUAUUGUACAUAAAUUGUAUUUAAUUUCUUAAUAAUAUUUUUUUUCAUUAUAAUGUAUUUUUUUUAUUAUCAUUAUGUAUUCAUCCAUACAAAUAUUUUUAUAUUAAUUUUAUCACUAUAAAAACUAAUUUUAUCAUCAUCAUUAUUAUUUUUAAUUUGUCAUCUGUCUAAAUAGACCUUAAUUAGUAGUGAUUGACAUGCAUAAAAGAGAAGGGAAGGAGCUAGAUAGAUACUAAUUCGAAGUGUUGAUGGUUUUUUGGUGAGGAUGAUUAGUGCUUUGUCCGAAGUUCGUUGGAGAUCGACUGCAAGACGAAGAAUGGUCAAAACAUUGAAGAUAAAAUUUUGAGAUCAAUCAUUUAACAAGAGAUGAGAGAUAAAAGAAAUGAAACAUUGAAUAGGAUGUACCUGUGCUCCACCCUUACCUUUUAUAAUGAUGCUUGAGUAAGCGGGUAGUGGACCACGUAUUCAGUUUUGAGAAUCAGAUGACUGAGAUACGCUGAUGGAAACUAUCCUAACUUUGAAGGGUUGACCUUGGUAAUCUUGAAGACUAAACAAAAUGAAAUGUCAUUACUAAACAAGUAAAAACAGAUAUAGAUCAUAUAGGAGCAGUGUGUGUUAAAUGAUGGCUUUGAAUCUAAUUUUGAUGUGGGGCAGGACAUAGGGCUUAGGGGACAAUUAGUGAGUAGAAGAAAUUAGUAACGAAUGAAGUUGCAUAUAGAAAUGUAGUGGGGUCAGUGGGGUGUAGUUUAAUUUUUUGGUCAGCUCAGAUGCUGUUGUUGACUCAAGUCAAGCUCCUCUUAAGUUUUACAUAAUUAAUCACAUUUGGCUGUCGUUGCUAAUUAUAAUGAGAACUGAUAAAAAAUGAUUCAACAGUACAGUACCGGGUGAUCAUUACACCAUGAAAAAUGAAAUAUAGGCGUUAAAGGAGAAGGAACCCCGUCCACUGUGAUUAUAAAAUAAAAAGUUGCAAAUGACCCUUGUGUUGGGCAAUAGUAUCUUUUACUUUUAGUUUAAGAUAGAGGUGGGGAAAAAGAGUGAAGAUAUCGGUCGGUCACUGCACUUUGGGUUGGUUGGUGUAGUUUGCGUUAAUUUCUGCAUGGUGAAAGCCUAGCUUAAAUAUAACUCUUUCACAAAGGAGAAUAUGCCCCCAUUUUCUGAAAGCUGUGGUGUGGGCCAUUCCUUUGUCUUUCUCUCUCAUUAUCACUUUUUAUUUAUUCUGUUUUUCUAUCCACACGAUCUACAUUAAUUUAAAAAAAAAAAAAAAGAAAAAGAAAUGCGUGGCCUUGCCUUUGUUCCUGGUAGUAUUUUUCUCCUUAAGAAAUUGAUUUAAUUUUAUGUUAAUUUUGAUUAGUUAUAUUUUGAUUUUAUUGAUUAUUUAUGUGAUUAUUCAAUAAUUUAAUAAAUAUGAAUGUAUUAUUUGAAUCAUAACAAUAAUUUCUUUUAUACUUAUAAUUUCAUAAAAAAUAAUAUUAGUAAGUAGUAUUAACAAUGGGAGUUAAUUGUCAAUGAGGAGCUACUAAAACUUUGAGUUCUUAGAUUCAAAAUUUAUCAUGCAUGUAUUUAAUUGUUUAGUUAUUUUAUAAUUUAUAAAUUGAUUAUUCAGUUAUUAUAAUUUAAUUGUGAUACAAUAGUUAAUUAUAUAAAUUAUUAUUAUUGUAACUUAAAAAAUAAUGGGAGCUAACUCAAUAUUAACUUAGACAUCAUACAUGUUGAUUAAACUCUUAAAAAUUAUAGAUUCAAUAAGAUUUAGGUACAUAAUGUCUUUUCAUAUGAGUUAAAUAAAUAGAGAUCAAAAUUCUAAGAGUAAAUUAAAAUUUUCAAAAAAAAAAAAAAAUACUAACAGUUAUUGCUACUUGAUUCAUGGAUUAUUUAUGUAAUUAAUAAUAGCAUUUUGUUUCACAUUACAAUUAUAUUAUUAUUAAUACAUUAAUGGAAUAAUAAAGAAAAUUUGUUUAAUUAUAUUUAUUUAAAAUUUUUAACUAAAAUGCUACUAAUAUUAAUACUAUUAUAUUUAUUUAUGUAAAAUUGUUUAAUAGUGUAAUUGUAAUAGGAAACAAAACGCUAUUAGUGUUGUUUUCUUUUUAUUUUGGAUAAUAUUUUCUAGAUUUAUUUAUUCUUAAUUUUUAAUUUUUAUUUACUUAUUUAAAGAAAACAUUACAUAUCGUCUAAACUUUUUAAAAUCUGCAAUUUUAAAAAAUCCUACCAACAUCCAUAUUAUUUAAGAUAAUACUUAAUUAAUAUGUUUUGAAGAAUAUAAUAUAGCUAAUAAUAUUAUAUGUAUAUAUAUAUAUAUAUAAAUUUAUAUAAUAGUCUAAGAGAAACAACUUUGGUUUAAACUGUCGUUUCAUUUUUUACAUCACAAAUGUAUGAGAUUGGAUUUUAAACACAAAAACCAAACAAACCGUCCAACAUUUUUGUUUUUUUGAACGGUUGUCGUUGUCUGUCUUGUCGUGUCGUACCGUUGGUAGCGGGUGGUCAAAACUCAGAAAAACGAGAUGCAGAACCACCAAUCAACAGCCGCCACGUACACCACCAUCCCCAUCUCAGCUUCUGACGUCAUCUCUCGCUCCAUUCACAAUCUAACAGCCACCCUCUUCCGUCACCUGCGUCCCUGGCCUCAACUCUUGGGCUCCGGCUCCGGAUCCUUCUCCCGACCCCACUCUCACACCUUUGUCUCCCGUGCCCCGGCCAACCUCCGUUAUUUCCGCGCCAACUACUCCAUCGUGGUAGCCGCCACCUCCGCCCUCUCCCUCAUAGGUUCCCCGCUCUCCCUCCUCCUCUUCUGCGGCCUCUUCACUCUUUGGCUCCUCCUCUACUUCUUCAGAGAGGACCCACUCGUCCUGUGUGGUCAUUGUGUCAGCGAUCGCCUCGUGCUCUUCUCUUUGGCUUUCCUUUCGGUGUCGGCUGUCUGGGUUUGCGGCGUCCUCCCAAAUUUGGCCUUAGGGUUUGGGAUUGGGGUCCUCGUGUGCGGGGUCCACGCCCUUCUUAGGAACUCCGAUGGUCUCUUUCUCGAUGAGAACGACGCCGUUUCUACUGGAUUGGUCCACUCAGUUGCUGCUGCAGGGACUACAACUACAUGUGCUGCCCCUUCUCCGAAUUAAUUAGAAGGAUUUCUUUUCUUUUCUUUUUUGUUUUUGAAGAUGUUGAAUUUCAAUUGCAUUCUGAAUUUCUGAUGGACAGGUUUGGUUUGGUUUGGUUUGAUUCGUACUUUGCAUAGACUGUGGAGUGUGGAGUGAGGUUGUCUGUCCGUACUUGGUAUUUAGUUGGAUUGUAGAUCGUCAAUGAUGAACUUGCUUGCAUUGAAAUUGAAAUGCGUGUGAUUCUUUUCAAGGUUGUUCUUCCUUGCUAUUGUUGUUUGUUUAUUGCUUGCUUUUCUUGCAUCAGAAACCAGUGUCCAACUCUUAAUUUCGCUAAAAACUGAAAUGAAAUUAACGUUUCUUUCAUGUUGUUCCCAUUUUCUAUGUUGAGCUUUAGUCCUUGGAUUUGAAAAUGGGACUGCCACGCUAUUUUCUUCAUAUUCAAUCUAAUGCUGGCUGUUUAACAAUACUCAAAUUAAUGGUUAAUGAAGGCAUUGGAAAAUUGAUCUGCGAACGGAAAAUUAUUCUGUUUUAAAAUGCCAAUGGGUUAUCGACGUUAUCCAAAACUUGUGGGUGGAACCGAAUGUGAAUGACUUGCUUUGCUCAUCACAAUGCUUACAUGUUAGAGGCAUUACUCUCCUCGAAAUUCAGACACUCCACCAAACGUGAGUUACAUAACUAUCCCGGCCCGUCCAUGUUAGCAAAAACCCAUGGAAUUUCUUUUGUGAAAACUUAGAUACAUUUAAAAAAUAAAAAAUAUGACAUGGCAUUGAUGUGGCAUAAGACACUCCACUAAAAGAAAUAAGUUUAAAACCGUGUCAGAAAAAUCUCGGUAGUGGUUGGUGUAGGAGUUUGUUUUCCCAACAUAAAGAUCAUAUUAGCGUAAUUCAACAAAGCAGUGACAUUUCCUAUCUAUUCCAAGUGAAGAAUGGAAAAUAAAUACAGAUUUAUCACCGUAUUUUACAUUGUGAACAAAACUUAACUUCUAUUGAGAAUAAGCUCCAUCAUAUCUUGCUCCUCAUUCUCACCAACUUUGCAAGUGUUUCUUGAGCUGCCAAGGUUAGUGCAUGAUUGUGCCCCAGCAUCACUGUCCGAAUACUGAUACAAGUUCUGCAGAGCUCUUCACCGCUGUCAAAAUGCCCACCUCUUAACAUCAGCUUUGCUCUCGUUUCCAACAGGGUAGCCUUCAACAAUGUCACAUCUUGCCACACGUACUCGUCCAACCUUUGAUUACCUUGUAACUUGUUUUUCCAACAAAGCGACCCAUGACACCAGUCUUGUGUUUGAGAUACAAAAGACUUUUCUACUUCCUCCAACACAUUUGUGCACACCUUCAAUAACUCCAAUGCAGAGUUGCAUCUUGAGAAUGUUGUGAAGGAUCUAAUUGCUAAUGGCAGUGCCGUCUUUUUUAUAUACAAAACCAUAUCAAUUGCUUUUAAUUGCACAAUAGGAGGCUCGGACUUAAAUCCAAAUACAAUAAAUGCAGAAGCCCAUAGAUGAUCAGAAUUCAGCAAUGGGUUCCCAAUUUUUCUUAUGCCUUGGACUGUGGCUUUAGCAGCGGAUAAACACUCUUUCCUCUUUGCAAACUCUUGAGUUAUAGGAUGGAACUGAAUCCAACAUCCAGUCUGUCGAUUAACUCUUCUUGCCAAUCCUAGCUUUACUAGGAGAAUAGCGGAAUCUUCCUCAAUUUGAGUAGCUAAACCGCAUCCACCACACAAGCCGAACGUGAGACUUCGGAACUUAAUCCACCUUCUGAAUCGGUUUCCAUCAACAGGCAUAUACUUAGCCGCAGUAGUUAGCAAAUUUGCAGAAAUGGGUGAUGGGGCAAACCAAGCACCAACAAGAAGCAUUCCAGAGGCGAGAAUGUUCCUUCUCCCAUUAACUUUCUGCAAUACAGCAAAGCAAAAGCAUAGAAUUUUCAUCAGGAAUGGAUUGUUUUUGCAGUAUUGCUUACCAUUAGUCCUCACAUAUGAUGAAGUAGAACCAUCUUCAAGCGAGACCUCGUUCACAGCUUCAAAGAGUGCAGAUGGAGAAAUGGCAAGUUCGGAAAGCAGUGAACCAAUAAUCCACAAACCAAAGCUCAGUCUUUCCAAUUUCUCAUCAAAUUUUCUCAAGGACUCCAACUCCUCAGCCGGAUAGACUUUUUUCCUUCUUCCUCUUACUAAAAUCAUUGCAUCAGAGAAAGGCAAUGGAGGAAGCUGGAUUGUGUCAAAAUUCAUAACCUUUGAUAGCCUAGUAGUGAUAAUCACAUGAGUCCCACCGGUGUUCCUGGGAAUUAAGUCAUGCAGGUCUUUUCCUUCCCACCACUCUCGCUCUGUCUCAAGAUUAUCGAUGAUCAAAAGAUAAGGCAUGUCACGAAAGACAUCUCUCUUCACUCGCUUGAAUGCUUCAAAUUCCUGCUCCUCAAAGCUUCGAAUGUGGCCCCUUUCCUUCUCAUCUUCAGCACUCACAUCCAAUCCCAAAUCGAGUGAUAAGUUCAAUAUAUUCUGCCGGAGAUAUCGGGCUUCUCCACCAACCCAAAGAACCAUCUUAUAUCUCUGAGAAUACCUAUAAGCAAAUUCAAGAGCCAGCUCUGUCUUUCCAAUGCCUGGAACCCCAUUAAUGCAAAUCACACUGCAGCGUAAGCUCUUGUAGUUCCCACUUUUUGAUUUCUUGUAUUUGGACCUUUUCAUUGAAUUUCUUCCCGUGACUGGCUCAAUCCAUGUCUCUAGAGUAGGCUCUUUGCACUUAUCUAAUCCCAGAUUAAUAUACCUCCCUCUAGUGGAAACAUUACCACUUUCUUCAUCCGCAAGCCCUUCGGAUUGCCCGCUUGCUUCACUUUUUAUAAUAGGCAUAGAGCAACAAUCUUGCUCAAGAGAAUCAGCAUGUCCAAAUAAGGAAGUUUCAAUCUCCAUAAUCUCCUUCUGUCUUCCCACAAAAAACCUGUUUCUCGGGAAGGGCAGCUCCUCAAAUCCUUCACCAACAAAGUCUUUCUCUGCCACACUAUUCCUUCCAAGCUUUGCUCGCAAUAUUCCUGCAGCUUUGGCUACGCAGCUUCUCCAAUUACCCUGAUUAGCUUCCAGCUUGAACUCAUGACACUUGAUUAGGCCGUCAAUUGCUUCUUUGCAUUCUUUAUCAACUGAAUUGCAGUUGAGAAGUCCCAUGAUCUCAGCAGGUCCCGUGUCAAAGAAGAGUGGAAUCAAGUUUUUCUUUUGAUAAAAGAAUCUAAUUUCCUCCAAGCUGAGAUGAUUGAGAAAGCUAGAAUUAGUGACCACCACAACUCCAUAUGUGGCUGAGCAGAUUACUCGGUCAGCAAUCUCAUGGCUCUGACCAUCUGAAUACUUGGCUCUAUCUGAAACAAAGCAAGCAAUACCCUGAAGCUCCAGCUCUGACUUAAGCCACUUACAGAAGCGAGCCAAGUUAGGAUUUUGACCGUGGAAGCCAAUGAAAACGUCACAGCUCCUGAGUUUGGCAUUAGAAGCAGGAGAAACAGGAGCUUUUGCGAAGGAAAUUCGAGGCACUGGAAAUGAGAAUGAGAUGCGUGGAGCAGGAUCUGGAACUGGAACACAAGUUACAAAUUUGAGCUUCGGAUCUGCAGGGUCGUCAGAGUAUUCAUACUGUUCUGAUGGUGGAGUGUAUGAACUACUUGGUAUAUCAUCGGAUUGUGAACCCCCUCUGUACGAGACUGGUGUUGAUGGAUGAGUAACAAGAGUAGAGUUAUCUUGCGGGGUUGAGUUCUCUUGGGGUUUCGGGAUUGUGGCUCUUGGUGAUAUAUAUGGUGACUGCAAAGCUGAAACAAAUGCUGACGAUGGUGGGGACACCAAGGAGGGAGAGUUGUAUGGAGAUGACUCAAUUGAGGUUUUUAAGCUUGGAGGAUGCAAAUCCGUGGGGAUCAAAGUUAAAGCAUCUUUACCAGUUUUGCUACAGCAAGAUGAAGUCUUGAUGGUGAGGCUGCUGGGAUGGUUUUCUUGAGAAAGUUUGCCGCUACCUGAUACUGAUGCUUCUUCUUCACCCAUAGCCAUGAAGGUUUUGAUGUCUGUGGCAGUGCAGUAGAUCUCACUUCUUCCAAGUUCUAAGAAAGCUAAGCUCUAGUGCUGUACAAUGUUCUUCUCUAUAGUCUACAGUCUACAUCGUAAUGGUACUUUUCUCUGGUUGUACUUUGAAAGUUAUUAUCAGUCCGGUAGCAGAUAUAAUCCCUUGCAUUAUGUGCGUCACCAUAGAACCUGAGCGCUUCCUGGAUUCUCUUGCAUCAAUUUUCUCUGACAGAUAUAAUUGAGUCAUUGAGUGAAUGGCUCUGACCAAAGUCUAUGGCAGAAGAUGAAUGCUACAGUGAUGCCUUCACACAGGAGAGAUCUGCACUGCAUGUGAUUUAUCUCACUUCAUAUUUGUGGGCCUCGCUUCAGUCAGAGCUACUCCAGUUUUCUUGUGCCUAUGGUGGAGUUGGUUUGACCGGAAGUAUUAACAAAGAGGAGAACAGUCCAUUAAACAUCAUAAACUGUUACAGCAUUUUAGUUAUCAUUUGAUUGGGACGGGAAUCAUUCAGGCUUUGCUCUGAAAAACUGAAACAGUAAAUGGAUGAUACUGAUUAACGCUUAAUUAAAACAACACAUGAGCAAUGCUUCAAAUCUUUCUUUAGACCUAAUAUAACAAGUGUGUAAACCAGUGCUUAGUUUCAUUUCAUAUAUAUAUAUAUAUAUAUAUAUAUAUAUAUAUAUAAUAUCCAUUCCAGAAAACUGAUGCAACAGAAUAGAAGUUUACUUACCUCAGCUUUGCUUUACUUUGAGGCAAUGGAAAGAAGAGAAACCCUUCGCUGCAAAUCCUGAAUGGCCAUGUCUAUCUUCUCUCUCAAAAGCAAGCUGGAGAGAAGGGGGGAAUCUAAUGUUGGGCAGGAUCUGUGAGGUUCGGAACAUAUAAUAUUAGAUAAAUGCUUAAAAAGAAGCUGCAGAGGGCUAAUGGUAUAGUUAUUUAUUUGAUUAAUUUAAUAGAUUGUGUUGGGCUUAGGCCAUUUAUUUUUGUUUUUUGUGUUGUACUAUUUAAUCUUUCGAUUCUAAAUCUAACACGGGGUUCUCACUUGUCACAGAAGCCAAAGAUUGGUCAGAGAAAAGGGCAUUGGAAGGGGAACCAUUAUUCAGAGCUUGUUGGCAGGGGUUGUAUGAUCAAGGGUUCAACAGCAUUAAAAUAAAGCAAUCAAGUUAGUAUUGUCUAUUAAUUAUUUUAUAUUAAAAAUUUACAAGAAUGCAUUUAUUUAAUUAAUAUUACUACUAUUAUAUUAUUGUUUAUCCAAUCCAGGUCUUAAUAUGAAUGUGUGCCCAUCUGACACAGUUUGAAUCUAUUUGCACCGGAAUUGGACCAAAGACCAGUCCAACUGAGAACCGAGCACCCACUGCUGUAUUAUUGACUCCUUCCUGGACAUUGAGAAAAUAGAUUGAAACCUUUUAUUUAUUUAUUUUAUUUUAACUAGUAGGGAAGGAGUGGUACCUUUUGGACCUCAUGAGUAAAACAGCACCUACUAUUCCAGUAUACCUGUCCUAUAUAUUUGGCAGCUGAAAUCACAGUGUUCACUGCUCAUCCAGGAUUGCAUUCGACAAUGUGGAAAAAGAAUUCUGGCACAUGAAUCUUUGUCAAAGCCAGUGGAUUAUGGACCUAAGCAUAUGAUUUACAAUUUCUCAUCUCAGAUAUAAUACCUUUUUUUUUCCUUUUCUGUAAAUGUAAACGAAUUAAAUAAAUUAAAAAUGUAAAGUAGUUGUAGAAAAGAACAAGAAAAUUGCAUAUAGAUAAGAUAUGUAAUUCAAGCUGAUAGGAUUUCUUACAAACUAAACUUUCCCAUGUUGAAUUUCAAAUUCGACCAAGGUGAUUAAGAAGUUAUAUAUGCAUGCAUGCAUGCGGAUUCUGGGGUUAGGGUUAGGGAGUUUAUGAUCGACUAAAGACUUUUUCUCAUUUUCAUCUUUUUGGUUUCUCUGUUAUGAUUUAUGAAUGUGUUUCAACUUAAGUCAUUGCCUCAGUGGUAGAAAUUUAAUUCACACACAAGCAAGCAUGUUGAGGCCUAAACCCAUAAGGGGAAAAAUUAACAUAAAAUAGAAGAAUGUGAUUCAAUCAAAUAUAUAAUCAUUACAAGCAUUAUUUCAUACAGUAUUCUAGGCCAAAAAAGUAAACAAAUAUCCCAUGUGCCUUUACGUAGAAAGCUUCUAUAUUUUUACUAUUAUGGAGGGCCAACUAAGGCCAUUGAUACCAGGGUGCUUGCCCUCUAUAAUCCUAAAGCUUCAUCUCUUUCUUCCUUAAAAGUUUUCUUAGACUCUCUUUUUUCAGAAAUUAAAAACUAUAAGCUCCUCUGCCUGUAAUCAUAGAGUUAUAUAAAAAUUAUUUGAAGUUAAUGACUCUACAAUUCGCAAAAGCUAGCUCUUUAUUUAAAUAAAGCCUAUAUGUGUUCUGCUCUCUAAAAUAUGUAUCCCCAUUAUAUAUGCCAGAGUCUAAUGCUCUUUCAUUUUGAAAGUGAGAAGCUGUCUCAGCAUGGAUGGAAGCUGACUACAUUAUGACCACCUUUUUCAUUUGUACUCAUUGUUGGAGCUUUAUCUGAAUCCAUCUCUUUAAAUAUAUAUAUAUAUAUAUAUAUAUAUGGAAAUGGAAUCUCCAUCAUAAUGAAACAUGAUUGGCUGCAAAAAAGAAUCCAGCUCCCAAUUAACCGGUAUUUUCUUAUGGAGCUAGAAAAUUUUAGGUUUAGACAGAAUUUGGUUUCCUUAAAUUUAGACACAAUCUCUUCACCUUCUCGAGCUCUUUUUUUCUUUUUUUUUUCUUUUUCUUAAUGGUUGUAAAAGCUAUGCAGAAAAUCCUGUCCUCCAUAAUUAAUGUAUUCCUUUUGUAUAGUAUAUAUACAAGAACAUUAGAUAAGAAUAAUCCUAUGUCUUACAAAUAACUCUUAUGCUAAGUAAUCAAAAUUUAAAUUACAUAUAUAGUUAUUAUCUACUCGAUUUAUUAACAGAUAACCCUUCAUUCAAAUUUCAAAUGGUCUGUGGCUUUGUCCCUAAUACGGCCCCGCAAGAUAGAGCCACGAUUGGAGAUUCCUAUCUUGGACAAUAACAGCUGAAAUCUUGACUUGGACACUGACUUUGUUAGUAUAUCAGCAAGAUGUUCAUGAGCAGAGAUGUGCUACACUUGAAGUAGAUCCUUUGAAACUUUGUCCCGUACUAAAUGAAGAAAGUCAAUGGAUAGCAUGUGUUUCAUCUUAGAAUGUAGGCAUGGAUUUGCAGAGACAUAGGUUGCACUCAUGUUGUCGCAACAUAUAUAUAUGAGUGGUGGUUUUGACAACUCCACUUGUAAGACAUCUUAUUUAUAGAUUGUAAACCUAUUUAUCUUUUAUUUUUUUAAGAUAAAAAUUAGGUGGUAAGAGAUAAGAAUGAUAUGUGCUUGUAUUUUAAAUUAAAAAGAAAACUAAUUUGUGCAUAAAUUUAAUUGUAUAAUUAUAUUUGAGUUUAUUAAUUAAUUAACAGUGGUGUAGCUAGCAUACACUGUAGGAGAGUAGGGAGGGCUAUUAUCUGCAUUAUAAUAAAUGAUUUAGUGCAUUAACUAUUAAAAGAAUGAAAGACAAAAGAGCGAAUAAAAGCACUAAUAAUUAUUAAGAUGUUCCAAAGGCUAGCUGAGUAUGUUUCUGCAUUGCACAGUGUUGCUGAGUGUAACAUCGAUCGGCAUCAUAUUCAUUGUAUAUAUUUAUAUAUUGAUAGAUAGACAGAUAGAUAGAUACCGGUGAUUAGUAAUAUUCUGACACUGCAUGCAUGCGGAUGCCGAUUUCAUGUUCUCAACGGGAUAAGCCUGCUUCUUAUGUUGUUCAUUAUAUAUAAUAAUCCCCCUGAAAAUGACACAAAAUGGCCACUGUUAAAUCUUCCUCUCAAAUUGUUAAAAUCAAGAAAAAAAAAAAAUAAAGACCUACAUAUUAUAUAAUCUACUACUUUUUUUUAUUAUUAAAGUUAUAUAAUUUUAUCAAUUAAUUUGUAAAUAAACUUACAAUUAUUUGAAAUAAAUUGUGAUUUUUUUUUUUUGCAAUAUUGUAAAAUUUUUUUCAAAAUAUGAUUUUUUUUUUCGCAACUGAAUUUCAGGUUUUAUUGAAAUUUCAGAAAAUUAAAUAAAUAUUUUUUAUUAGAUCAAAAUGAUAUUAAUUAAAUGGAUUUUGUUUAAAACCAUAAGAAUAACUUUUUCAAAAUUUAUCAGAUAUAUAACUUACCAGGUACUCAUAUUCAGUAAGUUAUAAAAUUUAUCAAUUAUGUAUACAAAUGAAAAAUUUUACGUAAUUUUAUUUAAAAAAAAAAAAAAAGAUGUAAAGAAAGAAAAAUGGAUGCAAAUAAAAGCACCCCAUCCAAAAUCCAAAUCAGAUUAGACGGCCAGCAAUGCCCAGUUGGGUUGUUUUUAUUAUGGGCCCACACACCAUGUGGCCCAUUUAUUUUCAUAUCUUUUUUUUUUUUUGGCCAAAAAUUACUUUUUACUAAGUUAUUGUUUUUUGGAGGAUUAAUUAACGGUGGAGCAAAACUAACAAAUUGUUUUUUAAUCAUUAAUGUAAAUAAAUUCAAUAAAAGGAUCGUGUGAAAAAAAGAACUCUUUCUUUAAAUUUAUUGAAAUUAAUAAUUAAAAAAAUAAAAAUAUUUAAUGUAAGUUUGAUCUCCUUCCAUUAUAUAUAUUUUUUAAUUUAUUUAAUAUACUUAGUAGUACUUACCAUGAUCAAAUGUUCCUUACUUUUCAUUACACUAAUUUUAAAUUAUCAAAAAGUUAAUUUACUAAAAUACCAUAGUUUCUCUCCCAAUAAUUUCAUGGCCUCCUAUAUAACUGCGAAUCUAACCACGAUUAAGGGUUUCCCAUUUCCUUCAAAUCAUCUUCAAUUUCCCUCUAUGAGAAGAUAAAAGGUACGAUUUUUAAUCACAUAUGUAUUACAUCCUAAAUUUCACUUUUUCUCUAUUUCCGAAUUAAUUUUUUUUAUUUGAAUUCAAUCUUUGUUGAGCUUUCAUGACAUAUAAGUUCUAUAUACAAAAGUCAAGCUCAAUUGUUCCUUUUGAGUUCCUUCUUUUGUAUUCAAAAUUGAUGACAAUAGAGAAUCCAAUGAUGGGUAUAAUUAAAAUUUAUUCAUUUAAUUGAAUUUUGAUGCCAGAUUAUUGAAGAGAAUAGUUGGGUUGAUUUUUCUUUUACAGAUUUUGGUUGAUUUGGACCUGAUUUUGCGGGAAUGAUAGUUAUUGUUCUUGAUCUUCAUCUGAAUAAAUCUUGAGCGAAACCCAUAUUAAUAGUUAUGGAUUUGGAAAGUGAAUGUUCUGCGCUUGAAUUUGUGGAGGAUAAUGAAGCCAUUCAACACGCUAUAUCUCAUUUUGAUGUCAAAGAUAAUCACGUUGAUGAUUUCAAGAGCAAGGAUAAUGGGUCGUGCGCAAAUGAUAAUCAGACUCAGAGAUUGGCCACUGAUCAUAGUGUCGAUUCCGAUGCUUUGACAGCUAAUAAUCAUCUAAAUGGUGCUGCUCAAAUUGUGCAGCCAAUGCAUGCACCUCAUCUAGCAGCUAAAUCUCCUGUUGGGGCAUCUCCCCCUACCACCAAAGGAUAUGGGUUGAAGAAAUGGAGGCGUAUCAAGAGAGACUUUGUUAAGGAUCCAACCGCCACUGGUGAUAUCAGUAAAAUGUUGAAGCGAGGUUUGUCUGGUUCUGCAAAUCCAACUAAACCUCUACAUAUGGCAUCACCCGAAAUCAAGCAGAAUAGUGUGGCUUCUGUUGGACCAGUGAAUAUGUUGAAGAGCACAAGUGUUGCUCAUGGGCUCAUGAUGCGUAGCCCCAGUUCUGAUUCCAGGUUUGCAGUCGGGGCUGCUUUUGCUUUUGCUACAGAUUCUGAAAAUAGCGAGGAUCGGAGUAGCAAGUCAUCUACAGCAGCCAGUAUGCCAAAGACGAGGUAUGACCUGCCUGCAGUUUUGGGGUACGUACACGAGAAAAACCAGAUGAAGAAUUUAAGUGGGAAGAGUGUGGGUAAUUCAAGUCAAAGAGUUCAGCAGGGAAAGGGUAGUGUUGAAAGCAAUAAGAAGGCCAGAGGAGAAAGGAUCAAAAUUGAGAAGGAAAACUCUCAUUCCAGCAUGGAAUCUGACUCAAGAAGCUCUAACUUUGUCUUUACGCAGGGUUUGUUUUCAGUGACAAGUAACGGAAAGCAAACUGGAAACUCCUUGAAUUAUGAUGGGGAAAAUAGUGAUGAAGCUCGUGAAGGCGAGCAUCAGAUCAGUGAGGAAGUUCAAACUGCUUAUAGGAAAGAAAAUUUAGGUGAAAUUGAAGAGCUUUCACCGGAUGAUUUAGCUGCAGAUUUAUCUUGGGAGGAUAAGGAAGAAAAAGGUGAGAAUCACCAGCCUUCACCAGAUCAAGACGCAUUGAUCCAGUCUAUUCUUGCCCUCCAAUCUGUUCAGGAAGCCCUUGAAAAUGGUGGGUGUGAUAUCCUUCUGAUAUCUUUGAUAAACCUUUCUCAUGGUUUGAUUAUAUGUUCUAACUACUCUUGGGUACUGUAUUAUAUGUCCUGCAAAUCCAGCUUGGUGACCUCUUAAUUUAUUCAUAUUUUAGUUAGCUUAUUUAUUUGACAAUCUCAGAAAUAUUUCUGUAAGUAUUUACUUCAAGCAGUUGAUAACUAUGCCCUCCUUUGUUUGAGGGUUGGGACAAAGAUUAUAAAUAGUUGUUGUUCAUAAAGCCUCGUUGUGGCUAACUUUGAAAAUUUCUAUACCAAUCUCUGUGCAUGUUCCACGUUGAACUGGCUUUUCAGUUAGCCUUAGAUAAGUCUAGAACAAGCAUCUUGAUGGGCAAGUAGGGCUGUAGUCAACAUAGGCUGUAAAAAGCUAAUGCAAAUAGCAGAAGGGAACUUCGGCUUAUAUUUUGUUAAGUUAGGAAUCAUGUACUACUAAUAAUUAACUAUUGAUAGUAAUGGUAAGUAUCUGGUGGAGUAAUGACAUCAUCAGGAGUAAGAUCAACCUAAAAAGGAACGUUUGGCAACAAAUCAUCAUCAGAAAAGCAGUAACUAAAUUCAGUUCAUAGGAGAAUCACACCAAUGUUUUUUGCUGGUGUUUGGUCAAUGUUAACUUAGGGUUGUGAGAAGAGAAGGCACACGGAAAAUGAGUUGUGGGAAGUGAGAGAGGAAUGGUAGUGACAUUUAUUUGGGUGUUCUCUAAUGCAUAAUGGAUAUCUGAUGGUGAAAGUUCAAUCAUAUGGAGGAGUCUAGGACUACAUCAUACAUGUUUUCAUCCUUGGAGAAGUUAAAUGUUGAUCAUCCAUUUUACUUAGUAUUGAUCAUUUCAUGCUAGCAUAAUUGCUGAUUAUGUCCUGCAUUUUUGUUAAGUUUAAUAGAGCAAUUUUUCUUUGCAGAAGUACAGAAAUUAGGGGAGAUAGGAAAGGAACCUCUACAUGAUGAUUCAAUUAACAUUAAUAGUGUUCAUAUGGAUUCUACUUUUGCUGAUGAGGAAAUCCAUGAAACUAGCUCAUCUGGUCAAUUAGAUUCUGAAAAGAUAAGAAAAAGUACUUUAGGUUCCUUGGAAACUCAGGUAUUCACCUUAACACAGAAAGUAAAAUAUUUGGAGAGCAAACUGGAGGAAGCAAGGGCUCUUCUGCAGGCGAAGGAAUCAAGGAUUUUUGAAUUGGAAACCAGUGUAAACAGUAGCAGGUUGCGGAAGGAAGAAUCCAGAAGCACUGCAGAGUUGCAACAAGAUAAAUAUAGAGAAAUGGAAUUUGAUCUUGAAGGCCUCUUUCAACAAAAAAUGGAGGCUGAAAUUGAGUUUCUAGCUCUAACAAGGGCAGUAGAGAAGUUGAGGGUUUCUGCGGGCAAUCAAGUUGCACUAUUUGAAGAACAAACAUCAUUGGCUGGGGAGCAAGCACACAUGUUGAAUAAGCUUGGAGAGGCAGAAAGCAAGGCUGUAAUGCUAAAGAAACAAGCAGAGGAGUUGGAAAAGUAUUGUGGAGACAUCGUAGGUACUGAAGAGGUUUUGAAGAUGCAAAGGAGAGUAUGUAAGGUUACGUCAUGUUUUUGUACACAGUUGGUAUUACUGGUGUUAGUGUUCGUUGUCUUGCAGCUGUCACCACAAUCAGGUGUGGUUGUUCCCACCUGAGUUAAAAGAAAAUAGAACCCCCCUUUUCUUUUUGUGUGUGUGUAUUCUAAUGUUUCUAGGCGAUGAUCCAAAUGUAAGAUUUCGUUGUUAUUAUAAUUAGAGUCUUUUCUUUUCCCUUUCCCUGCUUUUGUUAAUACCGCAACUUGGUUAAAAGUGGAAACCUUUUCAAUCUUGAUUUGAGCUUCUCUCAAUGUUAGUAUUUACCAACAAGGCUGUUUUUCUGUGAAGUAGAAUGCAAUUCUAAACCACACAUUUUAUCACUUUAAUUUGUUGGUUGUUAACUAGAGAAAUUAUGGCCAUGGCGUGCUGCUGGGUAGGCUUUGAGCAAUAAAUGUUGUGCUUGAGAAAGAUUUAUUGCCUUCACCGUGAACCUUCUCAAAACACUAUUAUUUGGAUGGGAAAUAUACCCCGUGUUGAAUAAUGUGACAGUUGAUUUUACAAAAUGAAUCGAAAUUUCUCAAAUUCAUCUUUUUAGGUACUCUUUCAUGUCAAAUGAAAUGAUAAAAGGUCUUUCUUAAAACAACACUAACACCAAUUGCCAAACGUCAUUGAUUAAAACCAACUUUUUUUCUUGCCGACAUAAUGCCUAAAAAAGGUGGUUAUACAAGUAUAAGCUCAUCCAACAUCUCCAUCUGCCAUCCUUUAAUUAAAGGGUGUGCAACGUAGUUGCAGAUUUUCUACCAGACUACAAUUUACUAACUUCACUCUGAUCUUAUAUAGCACAAGAAUAAUGUUCUAGGCUUCUAGAUUCUUAUUUAUUAAUAUAUAUAUAUAUAUAUAUAUAUAUAUAUAACCACAAGUUACAAAGCUCUCCCAUCUGAUCACCAAAAGUUUCAGCAAUGGGGCAGUCAAGCAAAUUGAAGAAACGGGAAAAGUUGAGCAAAAAUAACAACAGACGGAGGGUUGACACCCUGUUAUUCAGUUCCUAACAACCAACUCAUUGGAGGCUAUAGAGUUGUUGAAUCAUGGUAAGAUCGGUAUUCCAACAUUUCAGUUCAACAUCUCUCCUUGUCCUUCGUCCCUCUCUCCUGAUAAACCUGCAUCACAGUCAAGAACAGUCAUUUUUAAGAAAUCUCCAAUAGUCAAAUGAAACAUAGCAGGAUUUAACUGCAGAGACAAAAUAAAAAUAUUUAUACACAUUCUGGAUAAUUGGAGACAAAUGAUAUAACAGUCUACUUCCAUACCACUUUCUCAGUCUCUGUCAGAUUGCUCCGUAGGUGCCCAAUCUUCUCGCUGAUGACUUUCUCUUUCCCAUGCUACAUAGGUUUUAGCCGAACAUAAUGCUCAGCAAAGAAAAAAUUAUAACCACUCCUGUUUGACUUUGGCCUGGAGAGGUCCCAUAAAGCUAAUCGGGAUCUCUUCCGGCGCCAGUGACAAGGAAUAUCUGAAGUAUUUGAACUCUGAGACAAUUGAAGCAUUUGGGGGAUAUGAUACAGUACACCCUUAAAUUGAUCAGAGCCCAACCUAACUGUAAUCAGAUAGCCAUUAUCAAAUUUUCCAUCAAUGCUCCCCGUCACAGAACUACCAAUCUGCAACUCUGGAGUUCCUGCUUGUAUAAGAAUGGUAAGAGCCCUCAUUUAACAAGACAGCUACAUUCACACACUUGCAAAGAUGCAUAUGAAAUAGACAUCUAGGCUUGCCAAAUUUGGUAUAAAUAAUAACUAAAAUUACCCUCUAAAUCCUUUCAAAGCAACCUGAUAUAAUUUUCAAAUGACUUGCCAAAUAUCACAAUUUGUUUUUCUUUCUUGACCGCAAAUGAUCAUUUCAAGGCUAAACAAACAUUCUAGAAGCUCAAGCACUCAGCAACUGACAAUCAAGGUUUUUGUGAAAUCAAUAAUUUUGCUUUUAAGUCCUUUAAGGAAAUUCAAAUUGCAGGUCCCACAAACUAUUUCAGAACAACUAUAUAGGUAUCAGGGAACAUCACUUGUUGAAGAUUUAGAUUCAUAGAAAAGCAACAAUGGCAUGGAUUUUUCAUAAUUUAAGUAUAUCGCUAUUUUUUUUCUUCAGAAAAGAUUGCAUCGAUAGUCAAUAUAUUAGGCUAUUAAAAUAUGAUACAUUUGUUAAAGACAUUGCUAUGCAGGUCUAAUAAGCCUAGUGAUAUCAAGUCAUGCAUGCCUGAUUAGAGAAACCGAUAUCAUUUCUGUGAAUAUUGGAAUGAAAAGCUCCUUCAUAUUAAGGCAAACAAGUGUACGUAAACCACAUAUAAUUGUGAAAUACAACUGGAAGUUAACAUAGCCCACACAGUAAUUGGAGCCCUCAUAUCAAUAGGUAGUUACACAUACCCAGAGCUGUUAAUUGGUUUGUAGAGGCAUCUCCUCUGGUGUCUGCAUAUCCAUUCACAAGGCUCCCACUGGCAGUGUGUGCUAAAAGUACACAAAUUUACAAGCUAUGGAUAUUUCUUCAAAAGACAAAGAUGCUUCUAUCAGAAAGAAAAAAAUGAAUUUAGUUUUCAAAUACCAGGGGUUGAGACCAAAGAGACUUGCUUGCGGAAGUAAUAGACUUGCUCAAAGUGAUAAAGCAAUGAUAAGUAAUAUUUCUUUAAAACAAAUGAAGCAUUUUUAAUGGUUGUUGGAAAUCUGAAGACCACAAUCACUUCCUUCCAUCUGCGAUCUUGUAUUACCUGUAAACCAUUUCAAGGAAAUUAAACAUCCCUUUGGAGGGGUUGUAACAAGCUAACAUAUUGGACCAACUCAAUUUGUCCAUCACUUAUGGCCAUAGAAAUCUUCAGAGAGAAAAAGUUCCAGUCAUGCUAGCAUGCAACCUAAGAUUAUGAUCUCCUGCAAAGAGAGCUGUAGAAGCUAGAGGGAAUUCCAGGUCAUAUCAAGAGAAAGCCAUAUAGGUGUUCCUUUACUUAAACCAAUGACGAAGAGGUCAUCAACAUUGUUACUAACACUAGAUAAUGCAUUAGAUCAAAAAGCUUUAUAUCGCAGGCAGUAUCCUAAUUGCAAGUAUAAUACCUUUUCAAGACCUCCACGUGAUGUGACCUCCACAAAGAGUUGAUGCAGAUCUAGAGCCUUUCCUCCAACAACCAGAACCCUAUCCAACCAAAGCAUCAGGCGAACAUAUAUCCUAAGCAGUGCUUUUCUUUUCCUUAUUCUCUGUUUUGUUAUUUCCCCACCCCCACUUUCUCUUUCUCCAAUAGGUCACCUUUUUAAUACAAAUUUAGAUAGGUAAUAAGUCAAGAGGCACAUUCUUUAAAAGCCUUAAUAAAGAUGCAAAAGGAACCACAUCCUCUCCCCUAAAGAGGUGUGUGCACAAUGUGUGCAUGGUUGUUCAUGCAAACGGGACAGACUAUGAGGGUUGCAGGUUAGUAAAGGUUAUAAAUCCCAUAUCGAGGAAGAGGAUAGAUAUAUCAAGCAAGUAGCAUCAUCCACUGUAGGCAGAUAAAUGAUGCCAUAGUUAAGUGUUUGGAUCUAGAGUAACUGAGAUCGAUAACAUUUGGAAUAAACAAGCAGGAUUUACUGUCCCCGCUUUAAAGAGCAAAUUUUUAAUUGUUCUGUUAAUUUUCUUUUCAAUAAACAAAUUUUCAUGCUUUAAAUGUUGCAAUUACCAGCUACACAGAAAACAACGUUAGUGCUAUAUUCAUCCAAAACUUGACCAAUAGAACAUAGACAAGUCCCCACAUUGAAGCUAAGAAAAUGCAUACCAACAAAUGAACAGGGUCUGAUAAAAAGCAAAAACGUUAAAGGGGCGAAAUUGCAACAAUGAAACUUGAAAUUAAACUGUUAAAGUGGAAGACACUUUUUUGGUACACAAAGAGAUGAGAAAAACUUUUUCAGAAAUGCUAGUCCUGCAGACAGAUGAUGCAAUAAUGAAAGUUGGGAAAUUUUAUGUUUUGUGUUCCAUCCUGUAACAAUCUCGAGAGCAAGGGAGGCCCCCCAAAGUAGAGGAAAUCAAAAUUUUGAAUACAUCAUGCGGCAAAAAGGAAUGAACAUGAAAUUACAGCCAUUUCAAACAUAAAGGAUCAGGAUCUGACAACUCCUACUCUUGCAGAAGCAUAAGGAUUGCAAAGCAGGAAAAAAAAAACGACCCAGAUACAUGCACCCAUGUUAAAGACGAAGUUGGAAAUUGCAAGGAAAGAGAGUUACUUGAAUUUUUUGCCGAUUGAUUUGUUAAAAGCUUUGAGCUUUUCCCACAAAAGGUCAGAACUUUGAGCGACAUCCUUGUACUUGGCAGAUGGUGAGGGAUAGCGAGGUGUGUUGUUGUACUUCCCAUUUGUACUCUCACUCUGCUGCUGUUGUUGCUGAAACAUUUUUAGACUCAACUCAACAACAAAGGUAAAACAGUUUGGAUGUUGGAUUUUGGUUUGAUUAAGAUUUUAAAUUACCAACUAUUACCGGUAGAUAUAGAUUUUUUUUUUCUGUUUCCUGCCCUAUAUUAUUCAUAUAAUAUAAAAGCACUAAAAAAUUAUUAAUCUCUUAAUUUUAAUAAUUAAAAUUCAAUCUGUGUUAUUUUUAGUAAAAAAAUAAUAAUAAUCUUAAUCUUGGUAUUUGAAAAUUCCCCACCACGUAAAUUUUCUAUGAACUUGGCUUGGCUGCAUUGAAUGCCCCUCUAAACAAAAUAUCCAACGGUGGCAAUGCUGCAAUGCUUGUGAUAAAAGAAUUUCCCUCACUUUUUCAUUCUUCUUACUCACUCAACAAAUAGAAAAAAAAAUCCACUUUUCUCCGCUUUCAGUUUUGUAUCCACAUGCCUUAUUUUGAAGAAGGAAAAAUAAAUCCAAGAAUAGUGAUGAAUAUACAUAGGAAAGUAAAAUAUUAAAAGUAUUUUUGCCAUUAUAAUAAUAAAUGUUUAAUUUUCAAAUAAAAAUAUAUAUAUUUCUGGUUCUUCUAUCAUUGUUACCUUGUCUGUGAUUGUCUGGACCCAUUAAAAAUCCAGUUAGAAUACAUAGGAGCAAUAGCAUACGAGGGGGAUUUUGCCAGAGUAUAUAAAAGUCUAACCCCUUCAAUGGAUCAUAAUUGAUUGUUGCUUUAUUAAUGCCUGCUGCUGCCUGCUUGAUUUAGUUUUAAUAUACUAAUAGAUAGUUAGCAGUGGCUGUUAAUCCGAUGCUGGAAUGAAGAACCAGAAAGACUACUAAAUUAAUUAACAUAUGCAUUUUUGCCAACCAAAGUAAUUAACAUAUGCAUCCAAGAAAACCCAGAAAUUAGCAGGAGUAAAGCAAAACAAGAGAUCCAACCUCCCCCAACCUCAACUAAUAGACAAAACUAUACAUUGGUUCUAAUCAAAUAUAGCAUAACUUAUAAGAAGAAGUGGUUCAGCCAAAGAACUUGGGAUCAUAGCCAUUGCUGGAUGUUGCCAAGAUGUAGUAAGCAACAAUAUGGCCAAUGGACCCCAAGCAAGAACAUCGACGAUGUUGAAUCCCACAGGAUCGUUGGACUUGAGAAGGCUAACAUACUCCUUGGCUCGUGUGUCCCCAGCCUCAAAGUGUGUCAACCCGUUUUGCUCAGGCACUUGCUUGGCAACGUUCUCUCUUUGGAAGUUGAAGAACACAAACCUACCCAAGAAUAGGGAAAGACCCGUGCUUAGGCUUAUCACAAUUGGGGCGCUGAGCUCUGCUUUGACAGCAAGCCUAGCAGAUGAGUUUCUGGCGAUGCGGGUGACCCUGGAUGAGGAUUUGGCCUUGCUGAGGGGUCUGAUGCCUUGGAAUGAGAUGCUGGAGGGGCUGAGAUGGUUGCUGGCAUGGUUCUUUUGGAUGGUGGAGAAGAUGGGGGUGAACAAAGUUGAGGAGGCUGCCAUGGUGCCUGCAGAGUGCGGAUUGAAAGAAGUCUUGGAUAGUGAAAAAAAUAUAGAUUUUGUAGGAGAUGAUGAUUAAGGGAAGUGGCGUAUAAAAGAUCAUAUAGUAAAAACAAGUGGCAGUAGGAAGAAGGAGAGGGGGAUUGUGAGGAUGGAAAUGGUGGGAGAAAGAUUUUGGAUGUCGACUUGGCUUUGUUUCAUUGGUUUCUUUUGGAUAGAGAUUUUUGGGUCCAAAUGAGAAAAGCUGAAAAGUCGUUGGACUGUUUGAGAAAUUUAGCUUGGGGAAUAUUUAGUUAUUUACAGUUACAGACAAGGGGUGGCCAAAUCAGAGGGUUAGGUGUUCGAUUCACGGCCGAAAUUGAAACUGUUUUUAACACCACAAUUUUAGUAAACGAAUUGUCAAGCACCCUGGCCUGCAUCUCCUCGCUUUAUUACAACUUGGUUGAUUUACUAAAUCCAGCCCAUCUAAUCGUGCCUUUUUUUUUUUUCUUUUAUCAGAAGUCCAGCUUGGCUCUAAUCAAACUUUGGUUGGUUUACAAUUAGCUAAGUUCUUAUAGAGUGUGAACGUUUUUGUUCAGCUCAUUUAGAAAUGCCUUAAAUAUGGCUGAGCUUAGUUUGAUUAUAUACAAAGUUAAAAACUCAUUUCGGCCAAAUACCACGAAAAUGCAAACUCAAAUUAUCCUGCACAACAGGAUCAUAGUCAUUUGAAUGGCAGAUUCAUUAAAGAAAAUAAAAAGAACCCCCCCGCCUUCAUUCUUCUUGUUCACAUGAACAGCUCUGUCUAGCCUUCUGUACAUCCCCCUACCAUUAACAUCUUACGAUGAUUGACCCCCACAAGUGGCAAUGAACUAAAAUCUAAUUGAACAUAAAUAACCUAAAAUUACGAAAUACAGUUUACAUUUACACCUACAACCCUCUUCUACAGCUUGGAAUGUUACAAAUUUCCUCAAAUACCAUCAACCACACCAACAUUUUUAUUUUGCGUACUGCACAAUCAACUCACAUUAGGGAAUCAAGGUAUGAGUAGUUCCUCCGACGGCCAUACUCAAGAAGGCUACCAUAUGUACGAUCCCAUACACCAAUAAAGAGAGACUCUGUGUCCGGACUAAAGGAUAGGCCAGAUAUCUCACCAAAGAAAUCGAUUUCUUGCUCAUUCUCAUACCCACUUUUCACAUCAUACACAUGCACAAAGUCAGCAGGCUCAGCCAUUGCCAUGUAAUUACCAUCAGAUGUAUAGCGUAUAGACCGUAUUGCUCCAAGAUUUCCCUUGAGAACAGAAAUUGACCUGGACAAGUUCCGAACGUCCCAAAUCCGGCAAGUUUUGUCUUGGUUCCCGGUGGCAAAAGUGACACCGUCAGGAUGCCAUGCUGAUGCAAAUGAGAAGUCCAAGUGUCCACGCAAAGGCAUAACAGUCUACAAUGCAAUUUCAAGUCAGCCGAUGCCACAUCCUAGACUUUGCAAUCUCCAAAAAUGUAAAUAGUUAAAAAGCAAGCAGACAACUACCUUCCCCGUGUCAGAGUCCACCAACAUAACAUCAGGGUUGUCUCCAACUAUUAUUAGAAGUUUCCCAUCAGGGCUCAAAGAAGUAUGCUGCAAAAGCAACACGUAAGAAGAGCUUAUAGUAUUUCACCUCAUCGUCUCUACAGUGUCGAUAGAACCAAUAAUUACUAUGCUGCAAAUUAAAUUUUAUAUGGAAUAAUAUUAAGUGUAUGUUUACCAAUCUAAAACAAACGGAAUCCCAAUACAAGAAACUUACAUUGACCGGCCAAAGAAAAUGAAAAUGCUUAGAAAGUUGAUAUUUCUCCAUAUCAAAAUCUCUGACUCCACAAUCAUUAUUUGAGGCAGUAAAGUGAGCUGCACCACUGGUAAUUCAAAAACAAAGCAAAAUUAGGUUCAGUUGAAUGUAAGUAUGUGACCGAUGCCACCAGGAGCUCAGGGAACAAGAAAUACCUUGGAGUGACAUAAAUCUCGACAGCGUUUGUAAUGGCAUUGUCAUCAUAAGUUGUCCUAGAGCAGAAGCUUAUUCCAGGUCGAUCUAAAUGCUACAUUCCAAAUCAAAAUCAACUAAUUAAUUCUAAAGAUAACUGGCAACAGGAUAACACUAACCAAGAGCUCAGCAAAAAAAAAAAAAAAAACUCCUCUUCAAAUAUAAACUUUUAGCAUUUUUGCCGUUCUAAAAUUUCUAAGUAAUAAAUAGUUCAAACCAAGAUAAAAUUGAUAAACUUUGAAACAGAAUGAGCAAGAAAACAAAGUUCAUAAAUUCUAAUGAGCUUAAUAGAAUCAUUUAGCCAGAUCCUUCUCAUAACAUGAAAGAUAUGUCUAACAAUGGAUUGAACUAGAAUAGUUAAGAUAUGAACAAUUGACCUCAAGUGACUAGCAAAAACUGAGAAAGAGCUAUAUUGUAUGGAAAAGCAACUCUGCAACUGCCGCACAAAGGCUCAUUCAUUCUCUGAUCUUUUUUUUUUAUUGUCAAUAAAGGAUUUAGGGGGAAACAAGAUACAUUACUCACCUUGCAUAUCAGUUCACCCUGGAAUCCUCCAGCAACUAGCAGCUUAUCUUUUACUGCAAGGGUACUGACUUGAGUUUGUGUAAAACCUUCCAUCAGACUUCCAGGAUGUUUCUAAGAGGGAAAAACACGUUGAUCAAUCUCAGAGGAAAUGAGAUGGGGGAAAAGAAGAGAAAGGAAAAGAAAGAAAAGGGGAAAAACCAACAAUUCAGAGAAAAAGCAAAUCAAUGCCAGAAAACAGACCUCAGAUGGUGCCACAUGACCAGACACAUUAAGAAUUUCACGCUUCCCAUGUAUCAAUGAAGACCAAUGCAUGACAGAAAAAUGUGACAAAAGGUAAACAUCAUGUUUUGAUGUAGCCCAUACCAAGUUCCUUAACUGCACCACCACAAAUGGAUAUGCUUAUCAGUCAAAAUGAUCACAUCACAGUCAAAUAUACCAAAAGAAAAGGACAGGCCAGUAACAUUACAAGAUAUGAGAAAGAAAUUUUAAAAAUAUAAACAUAAAUCUUAAAAAAAAAAAAAAAUCCUUCUAUGACGUCACAAAAUAUGAAUGGGGUAAAUAUAGCUGAUAUAAAUUAAAUGAAAACUUCCAUUCAGCUAACCUGAAAAUGAAGUAUUGUUGAUUUCACAGAUCUUGAAUUUAGUCUGAAGUCAUAAUAUGAGGCACCCUUCUUGGUAACUUUGCAAUCCUAUAUACAAAUUGAAAUAUCAACUUAGUUCAAUUACAACCAAAACAUUAGAUCCAAGAAUUGUUAUAAAAGGCAUGCAGGCAACUUAUAAGGACUUUUACCUUCCCUGACCCUUCUCCAGACAGAGGGAUAUUCUCGUAGUUCUUGUACUGUUCUAGCCUUGUUUGCCUAUAUUUUUCCCUAGUGAUGCUAAGGCGAUCCCAAGGAAUUCCCUGGAUGUCUUUUCCUCUUCUAGCUUGAGCAGCAGAAGUAUCAGAUAUCUUAUUAUUCUGCAAUACGGUCAAAUUACAAUAGGCUGGCUUGAAAUCCAUGAAUACUACAACAAAAACUUUGAAAUAUUUAGAAAUAGUAAAGCCAUAUUUGCCUAAUCUAAUGAUGCGUGAACUUAGUUGCUCAAGAAGUGCCUAUGUGAAUCUUGUAAAACAUAAAACAAACCAAGUCGUCAUAUUCAUCAACAUCAGAGUCUGAGCCAGACAUAUCUCUGCCACAAAACUCUUCAUCCAUGUCAUCAUCCAUGUCUUCUAAGUCAUACUCAUCCAUGUAUUCAGCAUCAUCUUCUCGGUAAUGGGACAUAUUCCACCAGACAAAACAACACCUACACCAAAAUAAAUUCAAGCAUUGAUAAUAAAUUAAUAGUCACUCAACAAUAAUAACCAAACCAAUAAAGAAAAAGCCACACAACAUUGAAUCAGAAGAUUGUAUUAUCUUAGAUUUUUAAAUAGUAAACUUUGUGCUAAGUACACUGAUGAAGUGAUGAUUAUAAUUGAUAAGAUGGUGCAUAUUUAAAAUCAUCAAGAACAGUAACAUGACAUGUACUGCCACUAAAACUCAUGCAAGUUACAAUUUAUACAAUGUAGUGUUUAAGACAUUAAAAUGAUAUUCACAAUAAUUAUAAUUAAAUCAUCUAAUGGUAUUAUCUAAGGAUAUUGAACAUGAUAAUCUAACACUAACAGAGAAUAGAAACCACAACCAAGUCAGAAUUAAAGAGAAAAUCAAAUCUAUCACCAAACAUGGGACCCUCGUCAAAGGAAUGGAAAAGGAAAUGGAAACAAAUAUCUAAAAUAACAUGCUCAGACAAUCAUAAAUCCAUCAUAUAGGUACAGUUUUAUGCCGAUUUUCAAUGUGUAUGAAAGACUUACAUCAGCAUGGAAAUUAUCUAAUUAAAGAUUGAUAGCCUAUGAGUCAAUCCCAUCAUAGGUUAUUUAUGGGAAACAUAUGCUAUAAUAUAUUCUGAAGUAAUUUUUGCAAUAUUUUCAAUUCAAUUUUGCUAUAAUCACGUUAGGAUAGAGAUAAAAUUCACUUCUUAAUUCAAGCAUGCAACGCCCCAAAAACAAGACUAACAAAACUUUUCCAAGGUGCCUAAAUUUGGAAACUUUACCACCUAUAAAGGUGAGUUUUUUCUAUCUCACAUUCCUCUCUGCAGGCCUAUUCAUCAUUGUAGAUUUUGGGGUCCAAGAAAGAAGUCAAGUCCCAUGAAAUUCAAUACAUUUCAUUUUUGAUUUUCUAAAUUUAAAUAGCACUCAUAAAAACACGACAACAUGGCCCAAAUAAGAAAUGACCUGAUUAAUAUAAACCCUAAUGGAAAUUGAAACGAAAAAUUAAACUCCCAAAUGAGAACAAUCAUGCAACAACAAUUUGAUUCACUUGCAAAUAAUAACUGUUAUCAAGAAAUAAAACAAUAAUUAUUUAAAAAAAAAAAGGGCAAACCCUAAAAGUGUUUUAAAAAAAAAAAAGAAUUAAUUUGUAUAUGCACCUAUGCAUCGAUUAACAGAAACGAUGAAGAUGAUCGAAGAUUAUGAACAUAAAAAAAAAUGAAUCAUGAACGAGUAAAAGAGGAACCUUUAGAAAUAUAAGAGAUUAUGGGAAGCUGGUGUUGUCCUCCGAUCUGGUUUGGAGAUGAAAAUACGAGCAUCAGAAUAAAUUGCAUGUUUUUAAGAAAUAUAUAUUAUAUAUAGAAAAUGAUUAUUUAUAAAAGGUGAGGGUUUUUUUUUUUUUUUUUUUUUGAUGAAUAGAAGGUGGAUUUUAUAUACUCAAAAAAUUCGUUGAGGGAAAAAUAAUUUUGCUGGUAAUAGUAAAUAGUAAUAGUAUAGUACAUUAGUAUACUUUUAUUAUUUGCUAUGUAUAUGUAUAUAUUUAAAGGGUGAAGGAAGAGAUUAGAAAUUAUAAUUUGAUGAUUCUAUUAUAUAGAAUAAUUUUAGGUAGAUAUGAAUUAGUAAUAUGUACGAUACGACCUCGUUUAACCAUAAAUGAACUUGAACCCGGGAUUGACUUAAUGGCCCAAUAAGCUUAUUGCCAUCAUGGUCCUACACUCGUCCCCCUACAUUCUAUUGUGGCUUUGAUUAUAUCCAAUUCCCAUUUGAAUUAGUUUUCAAUAUUUCUUCUAAGAUUUCAAUAUCUCCGAGGAAAACUUCAUUUCUUUAGUUUUAUCAGAAGGAAAAAAGAAAAAAAAAAAAAGAAAAUUUACAUAAUUAUUCUUUAAUCAGAUAGGCAUGAAGAAACAAAAUAGUCUCGAUCGUCAGUGGUAGUUGUAGUACACUUUGUUUUUAGAAACGACAAACAUGGAUCAGACAGAGACACUGACAACAGUGCUUAUAUACACGUUAACAACGUAACAUUAUCAGGUGCAAGAUCAAACCCCGUUCCACGACGCACUCUAUCUAUGAAAUGAGUGUCAUUUCCAUCUCAGUCCACGUCAUCGUCAACCCACCCUUGCCUUUACCUUAUCUCCAUCCAUCUAUCCAUCUCACCUCAUUUCACAAUCCCACAUAAUAAAAUCCUCCUCUUUGUCCGCGCAUCAGCAAUGGCCACGCUGCUGAGGAAGGUCUGAGAAUCAGUCUCCUAUCGUUCCUGUUCCACCGCCGACUCUGCCACCCAUCCACCCUCACUCACUCAUUUAACUUCUUCACCUAUUACAACGACGUUAUCAUAUUCAUCGCUGGGAUCCCUCUAUGAAGAAGAGAAGAUUACAAUGGUAUUUGGGUCACACCUGAUUAUGUAAAGUUUAGUUGUAGUGAGAAAUAGUUGAACUUUACCAUGGUAGAAAUAGUUGAACUUUACCAUGGUUAAGUCAGAUUUUCACCUCUCUUCUGUAUUGAUCACUCCAGAUACUGAAUCUGCCAAACAUCAAGAAGGCAGCUUAAAGAUGCCAUCCACACUGUCUUAUUUGACAUGAAUGUUCCUGCUAUUUGUGCUGUCAAUCAGGUAGAUCAUUGUAUUUAUAGAUAUUGUCUAGUAAUUACUGUUCUUAAAAGAAACAACCAAAAGAGAAAGAGCAACAAAGCAAAAAAAAAAAACACAAGGAACUUGAUUGUUAAAUGAAGCUGCACAAAUCCCUUUUAUUUGCUGGUAAUAGUCGUCCAAACCACAUCCAGAAAUAAAACCAAUUACUUGAUUGAAAACCAUAAAUCACGAGUGAAGGACAUCAUAAUUAAAUGAACUUAUAUACCAAUUUUUUUUAUGCACAUUCAGCCCAUGUGCCAAAUCAUCCAUAUUCAAUAACACGUUCAAAAUUAACUAGUAGCAACAAUAUUAAGUAAUAAAAUCAAAACUUGUUUAGUCUCAAAACGACCUGCAAAGCUCAAUAACCUCAGUAUCUCCUACCAGCACCACCCAGGUGACCAAAAACUGGGGGAGCAAUCAUAGUUUGUGGUUCAACUUCAAGAAGACCAGGAAUAUCAGCCAUGCCAAGAGCAGAAAGCAUGUCAAGAGUCUCCUUGUCAACCUUAAUUUCGUCGGUCUUAAUAGCUGACUCAUCAGGAACAAAGUCCAUGCGACGCUCGCGCUCUUCUUCUUGAAGCUUAAGUGAGAUGCCACGAACUGGACCCUUCUGAAUGCGCUUCAUCAAGUGGGUUGAGAAGCCAGCAAUCUUGUUACGAAGGCGCUUCGUAGGAAUGAGAGUAACCUCUGCAACAAUCUUCUUGUUGGUGUGGAAGUCCAAGGUCAUGCGAGAGUAGUACUUCUCAAUGACCUGACGCGAAGACUUCUUCACUGUCUUGGUGCGAACACGACCCAUCUCAGAUAAUUUAGCUGUUCCUGCAAAGGGAAGAGGAAGAAGAAAUGAAUCUAGAAACUAGAAUGAUUCUUGGUUUCACCUCAGAAGUAGGGGAAACGCAAAAACCUCUAGUUGUAGGGAAGAAGAAAAUUCAAUCAGCAAAAACAAGUUUGCGAAAUGAAAAAUCAGAGUCUAUUGAAGCAUUGUAGAAGACAAGGAUAAAUGAAGGCUUGUGUAGAGACCUAAGAACCAAGCAGAUAGGUUGUUAAAAGACCAUCAAAGUGUUUCCACAUCUUUCACAACUUCAAAAAGUAAAUUUGGUCCAUUCUGUGAUGUAUAAUGCCCAGAUAAACCUACUGGUUCAUUUUGGACAUGACAAAGUGACAACAGCAUAUAAAAAGAACUUUUUUUACAUUUUCUGAGUAACCAAUCAAACAAUGAAGAGAAGAACGUACCUUGGUAAAGAAUCAGGACGCCUGAGAAAGAGGCUGCACCUAAGACUCAAAAGAAGAAACAAAACCCAGCGCCAACAGCUUGGAAUAUAAACCUCCGGACGGGUAAGGGCCUUAAUCUUAUUUUAGGGUUUUUAACCUUUCAGUAAUUUUUUAUGGGCCCAUGAUCUCUAUGUACGUAUACAGUUGAAUCCGUCUAUCUUUUUUCUUUUUAUACAAGUAAGCUUUUGUUUUGCUAAAAUUGCAAUCAAGUCCUUGAAUUGGAGCAAAACAAGUGAUUGGAGGCUUCUUGAAUUGGAGCAAAAUUUUCAUCCAAUGUCCAAUCCAUUUGUAUGAAAGAAAAUUCAUUUUUGUCUUCCUGCCUUUUUCAUCUCAACUACAGCUAGUAUCUAGAUCUAAUAGUUGAACUUUUCAUGGGAAUGUGAUAAAUUAUACAUGUAUGAAAAUAUUAUAUAGUGGAUCAAUAAACUUUAAAUCACUUCUGAUUCUAAACUCUUAAAAAAAAAAAAAAACUCUUUUAUGUUCAACUAUUUUAACUUAUAGCAGAUUUACGUAGGGUCUUUUUGUUAUUUUGCAAGAAUUUAUACGUACACUGUAGAAAGGAGCAAAUUGAUGGAGAAAAAAAAUUAAUUAGUAAUGGUAUGUAUUAAGCACAAAUCAUGUCCAACAAAUAGCGGGUAAGUUGAAAUGAAAUUGGCAAAUAAUAGUUUUGUUGUUCCAACUUUGACAUGCAAAUAGUAGAGACGACACACAAAUCUAAUUUUCUCCUUCAGGAUCGGGAGAGAUGAAGUUGUAUGUUAGGCAAGGAGGUUUUCAGGAUAUAGAAUCUAUGUAGUAGUAGUAGUGGCAGUUCACAACUUCACAUCACCAACUAAUACACACGUCAAAGCUCGGUACGUGUGCUAAGAAGAUACCACACCCCCAUUAGCAUUGCAAACCCAUUCUCACACAGCACUAUUCUCCCAACUAUUACCAGUAGCAUUCCAAUCUCUACCACAUUUCUUCAAGUACAAAGAAAAGCAUGGCUGACGAACCUCAUGUAUCAAAAUACUGUACUCUUCACAAGGUUAAAAGUGGGAAUAUAAUAUAUAAAUCAACAAUUGGAAUAAAUGGAAUUCACUUCCAGGCUUUCACAACAACAAGGAUAAAAACAUUAGGAACCCGGCCGUGGCCAUUAGCAGCAUCGAUGGAUUACAUAUUAGCUGACUACCACUAGCAUUCUCUGAUGUUGAUGGAGGUAAUGCAGGGCAUGCAAGCCCUUCUUUCCCUUCAUGGCACUCACUAGCAAAAAGACCCGGAGGAUAUUUCCCAUAAAGAUUAAUGUAGCUGAACAUAGUUGAAGCACAAUCGGUUGUCAAGUCAUUGAUCUGUUCCACAUAAGGACAAGCAAAUUCCUUGAACGCAGAACAACAACUUUCAGGUGGAUACUUGGGUCCUUUGCAUUGGCUUGUGAUAAUUGUGUAGUUCAGAAACUCAAAGUUAACUGGGCAAGCUGCAGAUAAAGAAACAAAAUAGUAUGUCAAGUUUAAUAUCCUUUCAUAGUUAAACAACAGAGCCCACAAAAAACCUUUGCUUUCCAUCUAACAUCUACAAAGCUCCAAGAGAUCUUUCGAUGGAAUCAACUUUUUCUAACGUUGCUGUUUGACAAUAUUUGAAUUAUGUGGUGCACAGGGCUUAAGGCGAUGAAAUAAACUUCUGGAAUCUUCAAUAAGCCGAGCAAAAACGCAAAAAUUAACAUAGCUAUGCAGUUAACAAAUGGGUAUCGAAUUAUGUGACGGAUAGUAUUAAGGGAAGGAAACAUGUACAAGAUCAUCUAAUUCUAGCAAAGGUCUGAUUAUUUAACAUUUGCCACAAAUGAUUUGCAAAUCUUGAGUCUCAUCUAGCUCUUGGAAAAUAAAUGAUAGGACUAAAUAUGCACAAGUUUAGGGUGUCGUUUAGUAAAGAACAACAUUAUUACGCACUCGGAAAAUUUCCCUUACAAGAACAGGAGACAUCGUGAAAGAAAAAUAAAAUAGCACCCAACAUCAAUUGAAUGAUAACACUGAAUAUGGUUAACUUACAGAAGAACAUACCGUUUGACUGUUUUCGAGCUUGGAAAACAGAAAACAAGCAGGCAAUAAAUGGGUUGAUGAAUGAUAUUUAGCUCUGCUAGUUGCUCCAAUAAUAAGAUGUUUUUAAAAUGUAAGAUGAACCAAGAAAACAGUUUGAUAGCAUCUUUGUCGUUACAACGUAGAGCAUCUAUGUUGAUGAUAAACACCUUAAUCAGCAAAUUUCAUAUUUUCAGUUUGAUGGAAAUCGUUUAUUGUUUUGGUAAAAUGUCAAUGAAAGUUUCGUAAUGUUUAUGGUUUUAAUUAAAACAGAAUGGCAAAAGCAAGAAAACAAUUUCUCCACCAGAGCUUCCGGAAAAUUAAGACAAGAUAAAAAGUCCCCGUCAGUCCCUUCCUCCCCCUGAUGAAGAUAUUAGCAUAAGCAGAAUUUCAUCAUCUGAGAUUACGGCUAAAUCAUUUGUGUGGCACAUCAACCAAACUCAUUUAUCUCCAUUAAAAUGGUGCAAUAUUAAAAAGGGAGAAGAUCUCAAAUGGACUAACACCAAGAAAAGAAAAUCUCAAAGCAUCAGAUCUGGUAGCAAAUGAUUUAUCUGAUUCUAAACCCUAUCACCGAACCUUUCUUUUUCGAAAAUUAAAAAAAAUAAAUAAAUGGAGAUAGAAGGUAAAAAAGAACCUUUCUUGGUCUGAAGGAGGUUCCUUCCUGUGGAAAUGAAAGAGUCGAAGACACCAUCUGCAUUCAGAUCAUCAAUUAUUAGAAGGUGAAUGAUGGAUUCAGAAGCUGGAGACCCUGUAAAAUCUUUUGAUAAAUACCUGAAAUUGAAGUGGAAGCAGAGACACCCAACAAAAGGAAGAAAAGUGCAAACCAAAAGAACAACUUUUCUCUCCCCAUCAAGUACUUCUGUUUUUUUGGUUUUUGCUGUGGGCUAAUAAAAGGAAAGCAAGCAGAUCUGCCUCCUUUCUGGGGCAGAGCAAUAUAGAAUGGACUAUUAGAAAAUCAAGGCUUCUUUAUGCUUUGCAGCUUCUGUUUCUCUUCUGGGUAUUCAAGCAACAGAAAAGCCAAAGCUUCAAGCUUUGAAAUUUGGAAUUGAAUAAUAUAUAAAAUAAAGAAAGACAAAGAAGAAAAGAGAAAAGAAGGCGGUGUGUUGGUUUGCUUAUGAUUCAAAAUGGGUUACAGCUAAAAACGCGAAAACUGGGCUCCUACUCCAACUGUGACUGUCCAAACAUAAGUUUUUGAUGAUUUUAAGACUGUCUGACCACUGUUUUGUUUUACCAGCUACUAGCUGAUAACUGAUGAGAUCAACUUUUUCAACGAAAGUUAUGGAGCAAGAUAGUAUAUUAGAAAACGAAGCGGCAGCAAAAGAGGAAAAGGGAAUUUUCCUUUCUUUUUAGUUUUUAAUUUGUUCAAUCUAUACCUUCUCAAUUUUCGUCCAAAAAAUAUCUAACUCAUGUGUAAAACUAUAAACUAUUUUAUACACAGAUGCCUGCAGUUGUCAUUGCCUUCAGAAGUCUAACUAAACAACAACAAUAGUUGGCCAAAAUAAUCAAUAGCCUGGCAGUAAAAUGAGUUGAAUUUUAAACCUGAAAAUUUUCGAGGCAUUUUUACAUUUUUUUUCUCUAAAAUCUUACAUGGAGAGUUAAAAAUAGAGAUAUAGUAGAACUCACAGGGAGAUAGGAUUGGUAGCUCAAUUAGCUUUCAAUGAAUUUUGAUUAGACUCAAUUUUAUAGGAUUGAUUUUUACUUUUAAAUUUAAAUUUUUAUUGAAUAAUAUUAAAAAAAAAUUAAAGUCAAGUUAAGUUUAAAGUGUAAGUAAAUUCAAUCUGAUCCGAUUUAAUAUUAUAUAAAAAUUAUUUUUUAAUUUUUUAUUUAUAUAUAUAUUUAUAUAAUUAUAUUUAAAAAAUAAUAUUUUAUUAAUUUUAAAUCAAAUUGAAUUGGGUAUAAUUUAUACAAUAUCAAAUCGAAUCGAAUUUAAAUAUAAUAAAAAAAUAAAAAAAUUUAGAUUCAAAUUUUAUAAAUAUAAAAUCGAAUCGAAUUUGAGAAGAAUAAAAAUCAUCUCGACCCAACUUAUUGUCGACCCUAUACAAAGGCGAGCAUAAUUUAUUUGCGCCAACCUUUACAUUAAUAUGUAUAUGAUUGGAUUGCAUUUAUAUCAGUUUUGGCAUAAUAACUCCAGGACCUUAACCUUCUACCAUAUGGUGAGGUUGCUAUUAUUAAUUACUAACCUAAAUGCUUGGUCAGCUUUCCAGACAGAACCAGCCAUGCAAAACGAAAAACCAAGGAAUAUCGACCCACCAUUCUUUUUUUCUUUUUUUAAUUUCAUUUAAUUUGAACAUCUAAAGGAUUAUUAAUUUUUUGAUUUAAAAUUAUUGAAGAUUGAAAAUUCAGUAUUCCACUUCUAGAUCACAUAGACAUCGGCAAUGAUUAUCAAACUCAUUCACUAUUUUACAACUAUAUCAAUCAUUAUCAUCAAAGAAUGAAUGAAAUUACCCUUUCCUUUCCAUAAGCUUAUCAUAACAAACAGAUAUUCUCAAGAUCUUUUGGCCGUUUUGGUACGGCGGUUAUACUUAGACGCGUGAACAAAAUAAAGUCAGCUCAACUCUCUUUGUUAUUGGCCUGCAUGCAUUCUCCCAAUAUAUAUACUCCCUUGAUUUGAAAGUGUUGUCUUUGAUUUUUUCUACUAGUAUGAAAAAGCUAGCACGGUGGCAAGAAGACUCGAAAGAAAAACAAUGGUCAAGAGAUGGCCUCCGCCAACCGCAAAAAGGCUAUAUAUGGCCACAACUCCCUAAAGAUAACAUUAUCAGGGAAGACUCGGGUCGGCUGUCCUGAUCAAGAAUCUUUAUUUUCCACUUUCUCCUCAUGAAAUCAUCAAUGCUCGCAUAAUCUUAAGCAGCAACUGGGCAAAUGGUUUCGGCCAGGGCCAAAGGGUUCUAACUAAGAACCCCCUGAAAACUGCUUAGGUUCUGCGAUGGGUUGGCUAAUAUCCAGUCUUAUCAGAUCAAUGUUUGGAUCGCUUCUGGGGCUCUAGGUGGAUGCUUUAUGAACCCAUAAUUGCCUGCAAACGGAUAAAAUCCUCUCAGCUCCAUCAGGUGACCUAGACUCUAUAUAUACCUAUAUAUAGCACUUGAAGGAAAUCCAAGUUUAGCUCUAACUAGCUCCAUCAGGUGAAAAAGACAGAUGAAAGGCGCACGGUUGUUGAUCGCAACCCACAAAUGAAACUUAAUAUAUCAGGAAGUUGUGCCUCUAACUAGCAAGGACCUCUUGCACUAGUAGAUAAAUUAGAUGCAUAUUGACUCUAAUCCAGCAGUCAUAAGGCGUGAGCAAAGCCAUUCCCUCCGACGUUAUAGAUUGUAUUGCCUGUAUAUUGAGGGGAAUCUUGGACAUUUUCCUUUUAUCUAAAGCAUCUAUAGAUAUAGUGGAUGAUGUUUUCAGGUCUUGGAUGUCACUCUCCGUCUCAGAUAGUGAAGUGGGUCAUGAGAAAAGGAAAAUGUAUGUGUUUUAAGUGCCCUUAUUUGACCUUGUGUCAUGGUGGCUUCCAUGGAACUCCAGUUAGGAUUCAAAAUUUCAUUCACUAUGCUCAGUGUUUACAUUAAGUAGGACAUAGCUAUUAUAUUCAUUCGAACAUAAUGAGAUAAAAACAAAAACAUUACUCAUUGUAAGACUAUAUUUCACUUUUUUUUUUCUCCACACUGUUUCAAAGAUAGGUUUUGGAAAAAUCCUUAUAGUUCAACUGUAACUUCAGUCAUGUGGGAGGUGUUAAAAGGAGACGAAGAAGGCAAAAAAAAAGAGUCCAUCCCCCAUGCUUCGUCCACGAGCCACGAACAAAGAUGGGCUCAGAUGACGUUCUUUGUCUGCAUCGACAUCCUAUAGCUCCACUUUGUCUGCAAGCUCAAUCUCCAAACAUUCAACAGAAUAAUCUUCGUUGCUGCAACAAGUAUGCCAACAAUCGUCACUCCUCGCGUGAAGAAAACAAUGACUUGAAAAGAAUUGAUAUACACCAACAUGACAAAUCGGCAUUUGAAACUCUAAAGCAUGGCUAGAGGCUAGAGCUAAUAUUUCAUAAGCCUGUAACAAUUUUCUUUUCCAUAAACAGAUUAGCUGAUGGUUGCCUUUCUCAAAUAGAAAGUUAGGCUUUGAAUUCCUUUUCAUUUGGUGUGAAAUCAUCAAGCAAUGGCUUCACUUAUUACUUACCCCCCCCCCCCCCCCUUCUUCUGCUGCCCUUAUCACAUUGACAGAGUACUAAAACACAUGAAACCUCCUAAACACCAGAAUAGGAUCAUGUUCAAGAUUGCAACACUGUGGAAUAUACUAUUUUAUAGAGAAUGGAACUUACACGACAUUUAGAUGCACGUAUAUUUUCCAGCAACGCUGCAAUCUCAAGUUGCUUCAUUACUGUAGGAUGCAGAACCUGUAACAUGAAACUUUUGUCAAUGAUUGUGAUCAUUUAAAUCAGUCUUCAAACCUCUAAUUUAUGUAAAGCAAUUUCCAUGAGCCAUACUCGCUUAGUUUUGUCAAGGUCAAACUUGACAGAUUUGAUUCGGUCCAGAGAUUCCAUAAGCAUUUUCUCCUUUUCUGCGGGAAUUCCAGCAGGUUUGUUGCUAAGUUCCUCAAAUGCUUUCUCUAGUUUCUGAAGACGCUCUAAACAUGGAAGGACAUGGUUUUCUUCAUUAACAGCUUCUGGUGCUGUUGAAUUUGAAUGGCUCUUCGUGUUGGAUUCCAUCAAUCAUAUUCGAAGGAUGAAUAUUGUUUGGCCUUCUCCAAAAUUCAAAUUGAACAGUGCGAAUAAAGGCAACCAGUCUAACCAAUAAACCUAUUAGCAUUUUUUCCACAGAAUAAAUAUUCCUUCUCCCCACCUUUUCCUUGACAGUGUCUAACCAACGGAUGACUGAAAUUCCUCAAAUUUGAUUCAAUUUGGAAAACAAGUCCAAAGAAUAGGGAAUUAUAACAAAAAAUCCAUCAAGUACAGGGUAAAUUAUCCACAUCGUAUGUGAAACCAGAUAGUAAACAAGAAACACAGUCCAUGCACCAUCAAACAAACGAUAUAGCAAAGGUAAAUUUAAAGUAUCCUCCUCUAAGAAGAGAAACUGAUUACUGUGAUAAAAUAGCAUUUUCAAAUACCUUCCGAAUAAUAAGAAGAUGUUCUUUGAUGAGAUUGGCAAUCCACAUAACUACAAUUAGGCAACUGAUCUGGGGAAUAUAGCAGUCCUAGGUCACUUUCUAUAGUUUUCUCAACCAGAGGGAAACUAUCAUCACAACUAUAGUAAGCAUUUGGAUCUGACACCCCCACCUGCAUAAAUCACAAUCAUUUUUAUUAAAAAGGCACAGAAACACACAUUAGUUACCACAUAAAACAGAAUUCUCUGCUUUUGCAACUCACUUCCUCAUGAACUGGUGCCAGACAAGGAAAUACAGAGCUUCUUUUUCCAAUUGGAGAACACUGGUCAUCAAUAUCUGAUCCAGACUCUGCUGUUGACGUUUCACUAGCCCUUCCCUGACAAACAUAGUAUGUGUUAAAACACGUGCAGAGAAGAUAUAAUCACAGAACAGUAAUGUCCUCAAUGAUCAUGAGACUAAAUACUUGCCUUUAGUGGCCGUGUUUUAACAUGGGAGUCAUAUUUAUGCUGGUCAUUAGAUACUCUGGUGAUCUGCCUCACAAAUGUUGCUUCUGCAUUAUGUGCAAGCUAUCAAUGGAACCAUAUGUUAAUCUACGGACAAAAGUUGAGUGAAACCUAAAAUCAUGUCUAACAAACAUUCCAUGCUUGAGAGGAAGAAACAGCAUAUUACAUAAACAGAACUAAGUUCAUUAAAGGGAUGGUUACCUUCAUUAUCUUCAGGAUCAUUCCAUGGACCUUUAUUGGAUCUAAGACACCCUCCCUCCACAGAGCAAGUGCAUGACCCUCCUAAGAAAUCAGGCAACUGACUAAAAGAGGUGAAGGAAAAGCAAGGACUUAGGAGGGAUCAUAGGUUGAAUUCUCUUGUAGGUAAGAAUGUACAAAUAAUUAACAGACCUAGAGUCAAUGAUUUCGAGUAGCCUACCGAGAGAUUUGGUCUCCAAACCUGCAAAUUAUAAAAAAAAAAACUGAACUAGGGAGCAGGAGAAGGGGAAUGGAAAGAAGAAAGCCUAAAGCCAUAUCCUUUACAUUUAUCUUUCCAAUUGUCCUUGCAUCAAGAAAUUUCUGAGCAACCGGCCAAAGCAUCUUUUUGAAUCCAGGACCAGCAUUGACUAUGUACAUUCCGUGUAACGUCUGUAAAGCCAUACAAAAAAGAAUUACAUAACAAAUAGAAACAGAAAGUAAAAACAUGAUUCGAUUGGAUCAGAUACCUAGGGGUAAUAACCGUUGUCUAAUUUAGUCAUGGCAGCCAAAAGAUUUGCAGCAGUCCUGCUAAAAUUCUUCAUGCCCUACGUUCAAAAUCAACAUUUAAUUACCGAUUAUAAUUCUACCAUUAGGCUGCUGUAAAUGAAACAAAAAAAGGGGCAUCAAUAGAGGAAGAAAAUUUUUCAAUUUCCCAUAGUAAAUAUGACUGGCCCUAUUGCACACUCCAUUAGUGCCUCUGCUUAAGUCAUUAAUGAAAUGGGGCCAUAGCAAAUGUAAAGUUAAAAUGCAGCUUUUGUAUUCAGUUCUAGUGCUAGACCUUAUAUCUAAAAGAAAACUUUCGAGUAGAUUGACAAUGCAGAAUUUUUCUAAAAGCUACAAGGCUAGCAAAGUUCUGCCAUAAUGCUAUCUAUAAUGUUGUCAAAUCUUCUAUUUGUUAAAGGAUGUCAAAGAUAAGAGCUAAAUACCAAUCCUUGUACAUCCAAUAUAGUAGUUGUUGAGCAGAUUUGUUGCUUUGCCGCAAUUGAACAAGCAGGGAAUUUCUCCAAAAGAGCUCUCUCAAACUCUUGGACAUGGUACUUCAAAUAUUGAUCUAUGGUGGUGAUACGCAGAAGCCUACUUGGAUGGGCUUUUCCUAGCCGCUCAAUAUAAACAGGUCUCCCUUCCUUGUCAACUCCAUGGUACGCUUGGGGAUAGUAUUGCAAUACUUCUUCCAGCUCUUCAAACUCGAAAUCCUAAGUAUUGAUUGACGACAAAAGGUUUAAACUUCUAUGAUAAAAACACAAAAUCUAAGGCGCCAGAAAACUCUUUGGCCCCGUCAAAUAUGAUGCAAGACAUUCAUUUGUGGUUUUAUUUGUUAAGUCUUCUCCAGUAAAGCAUUCCAAAUUUAAUAAACAUUAUAGACUGGAUUCUAGAAAGAACAAAGUUUACAUUUCUCACCUCCAAAAUGGUGUCUGUUCCGAACUCUCUCCUCCAUUUAAGCAUUUCUUCCCACAUCUGGAUUGUUUUUCCAAUGUUAAACUCUCUAGCUUUCAAGAACCUACACGUUAAAAGUAGUAGUACUUCUUAGCAUACUUGAGUUGAUCAGGUAUAAUGUGAAACAUUCAACAAACAGAACUGUGGAAUUUGGCAGCUUAAGCUUAAUAAAGGCUUACACCCUUGUGUCUGAAAAGCACCAACCGACCUCAACAAAGUAUGAUAAUCGUCAUGCUUACGAGGCAACAAAUCCUUAUGAACAAGUUUUUGACGCAAUUCAUGAGCCGCAGUCUCCUCUUUUGCAUCCCUGACAUCCUCAAUGGAUACAGCAGGAAACCGGUAAUCUAUUUUCGUCUUCCCUCUUUUCUUAAGAGAAUGAGUAAACUUGUUGGAUGCAUUUAUGGCCUUCUUUUUCAGAUUUCCAAUUUUGGAUCUCCUUCUCUCAUACUCAGAGUUGUCAAAAUCAAACCUUCUGUCUCUGCUUUCAUCAUUUGCUCCAAUUUCAACCACCCGUUCCCAAUAUUGACAAAACCAAAAUAAAUUAUAAAUUAAACAGGACAGAAAUGCAUUCUUGAACUAGCAAACAUAUAGUAGUAGUAGUAGUAGUAGUGUUAACUAAUAUACCUGACAUUUCAGCGCAAUUUAAAAGGAAAAGCUUUGUUCUUUGAAGCUAGUAGUAUUGUUCAAUGGAAUGAAAAAAAAAAAAAAAAACCCAUCAUGCUCUGCUUCUGCACACUGUGAAAAAGAAAUAGAAAACAGAAAAUAGAAACUAAUGAAUUGAAAUGAAUCAUUUGGCAUUAAGAAGCAAUAACUAUAAAGCAGCAGAAUUUAUGGAAAAAAAGUAAAAUGUAGAGUUGAAAUAUGACAAAGAAAUAUGAGGGGAUGAUCAGAUCUGGACAAAAAUGAACAAGCUUUGCUCUCAGUUAUCAAUGAAAGCUUAAGGACUUGCGGACUAAUUUUCUUCAUGUCUCCUUACUCAAAAUGUUUUAUUUAUUAAUUAUUAAAAUGAAAUAAUUACUCUGGAAAUUGGGGAUUAAUGGUAGUAUUAGUUCAACUAGCUUAUGUCAGCACGCCAAUACUUUUAUUUAUUUAUUUAUUUUUAUAUACAAAUCUACAAUUAUAUAUUUGAAUAUUUACCAAAAAAUAAUUAAAUAAUUGUUAUCCUAAGUGGCGGCUAAUAUGGAAUGGGGGUGACGGUGACUUACUGACUUUUAAGGAGUAAAGUCGUUUUCUCACUCAGAUUCUAGUAAUACUAGUAUUAUUUAUUUAUUUAUUUAAGCAUAUAAAUAUUUAACUUUGCUUAUAUUUUACUUAUAAUCGGAGUAACACUACUGAAAUUAAAAUAUGGUCCGAAAUUCCAUAUUUGAUUAAAUCAAUUAAAGAAUUUUUUUUAUAAGAAAAAAUUUAAAGAUAGAUAAAUUAAUUAAUUUUUUAAAUUAAAAUAAAAUAUAUUAUAUUUGAUAAUUUAAAAUAUAUGAUUAUAAAUUAUGCAUUCAAAAUGAUUUCAAUAAAUAUUUACAUACAAAAUUUAAAUUUAAAAUUUUUUUAUCAAAAAAAAUAAAUUUAAUUUAAUCGAUUGAAUUAAUUAUUUAUUAAAAAUUAAAGAUCAUAAUUUUUUGUUGCCUUGACUCUAAAUUAAGGUAAUUUUUAAUUUUAUAUUUAUAUAUAUAUAUAGAUGAUUAUGAUUUAGUUACGAUAGAUGAUGAUGGAUGAUACGACUAGACGAAGUGAAGAAGCGAGGAAGAGAGUAGUCAAGGAGUGAAUGUUAAAUGUAUUAGUACUUAAAUUUUAAUUUUUUUUAUAAGCUUUUAUUAAUAAAUAUUUUAUCAAUUUAAAAAAUUUAUAAAUAAAAAUUUAAUAAAUUCAAAAUUUUCAAUUAAAUUAAUGAUUUAUUUUGACUUUUAUGAAUUGAUUUUCUUACUCUUAAAUUAUUUUUGAUAAAAAAUAGUACAUAUUAGCUUAGGUCAGCAUGAUCUCUCUUUCUUUGGCAAAAUUACAAUGGUGGCAGUGGCUUGGGCUCUACCCUUGCACGAGGCCAGAGAGUAAGAUCUCCAGAAUCCAUCUCUAUCUCAUGACUUGGCUUUUUCUGCUUGUGGUUGCGCAUCCAUGACUCCACCUGUCAGCCAUCCCCUGACUAAGUCUAAACUACACAUCACUGUUUUUCAAUCCUAGGACCAGGUCUUGGAAACAUCAUUCAAUGCUACUAGUUAGUAUCCUUUUCCAUAGAAACGGAACUGUUAAAUCUUAAAUACUACUACUGCUACAAUUUAGACAGUUCUACUUUAUCAUCAGCAGUAGCAGCACCCAGCAGCCCUGCAAAAUCACAAAUGCAAAACACAUGAAAAAUCCUCGCUAGAAACGCCAACCCCACCUGUACCAUGCACCUGAAUCCACCAUCAUCACAUUCAAUUUCUGAUCAAACAUUUUUACUACAAAUAUUUAUAUAAACCACAAAAAUGAAUCCAUGAAAAUCCAUCAUUCUAGCUAUUUUUUAUCUUUAUUUGGAAUAAAUGUGACUGUUGAUGAAGUAGUUCUUACUAGUACUCCUAAGUUAACCAACGAGUUUGAAACAGGUCCAUCCAAGACACAUUAAUAAAGCAUGUUUUCGCGUAUCUAUGAGGAUGGUCCCAUGCUAUCCACCACUCUUAAAAAAAAAAAGUACUGGUUGGUAAUUGUGACUUUUAAGUCAAAUUCUUUCAUUAUCUAAUUAUUGUUAUUCAACUUUGAUUUUGACUAACAUCCAGUAAAAAAGUUAGCUUAAAGAGGAAGGUUUAAUGUGGUCAAUGAUUUUGGACCAUUCUUAUUGCAUCAACACAUGCACAAUAUUGUUCAAGCCAAGCUCCACAAAUCAAUCAGGUUGUUUGAAAAAUUAACCAAAGGAAGCUAAAGCUCAACUUUCGUUAUGAUUGCAUUUGAGUGGUCACAAACUCCGCAAGCAUGCCACUACAUUUUCUACCCCAAUUCGUGCAAUAUAUAUUAAACAUUAAAAUAACAUUAAAAUUAUCACAUGUAGAAUUGAGACAUAACACGAUCAUAUUAUUUUUAAAAAAAUCUCAAAAUAAUACGAAGACUUUAUUUCUUAAACAUUUUAAAAUUCUUCAAUAAAAUAAUCUAUCCAAUAAAAUUCAUAUUUUUAAUCUAGCUGAUAAUACAUCUUUAUAUAUCCAAAUACAAAUCAUAUAAAACACAAAACUGCCUCUUAAAAUCUCAUUGACCAACAUAUUCUCCGAUGAUUAAGUAAUCUUACCCAUUUCAUCUUCUAGUUUCAUAUAAAACUAAUCAAACUUAUCACUUAAUCAUCUGUAAAGAAAAAGUAAAAGGAAAAUGAGCAAACCACAGUUCAGUAAGUAUAGGCUCACACACCUUACCAGAUCAAGUAUCGUUUUCUUAUACAUCAUAUAAAUCAUUCAAAACAUUCAUCAAAUCAUAAUAUCAAAAUAUUUCAAGAUCAUCGUUUUGUCAAAUAUUUCAUAAAUUCAUAAAUCAAUAUCAAAAUAUGUCACUUUAUAAAUUAUUGUAAAAUAUGCUAUUAUUCAAAUAUCAUAAUCAAACCAAAUCAUGGAUUAAUCAUUAAAAAUCAUCAUAAGUCAUCAUAAUCAUAAAUCAUCAUUAUCAAUCGUUUAUCGUUAGCUACGGUCAUUGCUAUAACCCGUGACAUUGGUCAUAUCGAUAAUUUCAUCCUUAUGAUCAUUGCUAACUAUUAUAACCCGUUAGCCAAGGCCUUACGCUAACUACUAUUACCCGUUAGCAGGAUCGUAUAAUCAUGUCUUUGCUAACUACUAUUAUCUGUUAAUCAGGGUCGUAGAACUAGUUCUGGUGUCGAUGAUCCUACUUCCUAGAGAUAUAAAAAAACGUAACCCUCACAAAUCAUUCUUUAAUCAUAAAUCAUUUUCUCAUUUCAUUCAUAAGCAUGAUCCAUCAUUUAUAUAGAAAAACACAAAAUAAUCAUAUGCUUGAUCCUAUUUUCAUACAUCGAAAAUAAAGAAAUAAAACAUUCUUUCAUUUAGAAACACACAUAUAUAUAUAUUCAUAGAUUCAAAAAUAAGCAAAGUGUGUGAGAUUCUACUUACCUCCAUUCGAUUUCACCACUUAGUUUUUCUCCUAAAAUAAUUAAUGGCCUAUCCAAGAUCAUUUCAACAGAUCAGAAUUUAAUCAACCCUUUUUUAGACCAUUUAUACAAAAAUCAACUAAGUUACACAAGGGUUAAUUUAACUAAUUAAUACUGGCAGCUUGACCUAUUUUCAUUAAAAUAGUCAUAUCUCAAUAUAUCCAAAUCAAAAUUAUGAUCUCUUUAAUGCGUUAAAAACUAGACUUGAUAAACUUUCUAACCAUAUAUGGCACACCUUGUAAUUCCUUGUAGAUUAGUUAUAACAAUUUUUGAAAUCCAUGUCAUAUACUAUUGUCAAACAGACUGUAUACCUUUUAAUAAAAAUUAUAUAUUUAUUCACAGGAAACUCCAAAUCCAAUUCCGCUUAUUUCAUUGGAAAGUAGACUCAAUAAGCUUUCCAAACAUAUAUGGCUUAAUAUGUAAAUCCUUGUAUACAAAUUAAAAAGAAUUUCGUAAUUCAACCCUGAUGUUGUUAUCUUACAACCUGCAUAUCCUUAAGUUAAAAUUAGACAACUCUUCAUAGAAAACUCGGAUUUAACUUUCGUUUAUUUCAUUAGAAACUAUAUUCAACAUGCUUUCCAAUGAUAUAUAAUAAUCACAGCAAUAAUCUAUCCAUUAAUACAAAAUUCUAUUUUAAUUCAUUAUUACAGAUCAUAAUAUCUCAUCUAAAAAUAGAAUUUAUCCUUCAAUAUCUAAAAAUUCAAAUCCUUAUUUUCAGCCUUCAAACUCCAUUCAAUAAUCAUCAAUAAAUUUUAAAAACAUGAAAUAAAUAAAGCCUAGUAAUUUACUCAAAUAGAUCAUGAAGAUUAAUGAAAGAUUUUAUGAUUUUUCUUGGUUUUACUCUCAAAACUUCAACUCCAAAUAAUAGCAAUCAACUUGAUAUUUCUUUUUAAAUAAAAAGAAGGUAUGUACUCAUCUUUAAGGGAUUAACUUGAUUGUAGCCUCUGAUUAUGAAUCUCUAACUUGAUUUUUCAUAUUCUCUGACCCUAAGAAAGAUGAUGAAGAAGAACUCUAUUUUUUUUUUAUUUCACGAUAGUUAAGUUUUUUUUAUUUAAUAUUUCAGUCUUUUUUUUUAUUAAAUAAUAUCUUAAUAAACUGAUGGACUUUAAUAUUAAUCUAACCCAAUUAUUAUUUAGACUAAAGUAUUACAGAAAUGUAUGCUUUUUCUUAAUGACACUUUUAUUUUAGUUUUUCAAGUUAAUUACAAUAAAAAGUGAGCAUGUAAUUUGUAACUUAGAUUCUUUUAGUAUUAUCUAGUAAGUUAACCCAUCCUAAGUUUAGUUUGUCUAGCUAGGUAGGUUAAUGAAUUUGAAUAGCUAAGUAGAAAUGAUCAAAUAAAGAGGAAAUUAAUCCAAGUAACUAGAAAGAGACAGAGAGAGUGAUAUUUUGGCAGGUAGAGUCCAAAGUUGGAAUUAUGCUUUUGGGCUGAGGCAGAGAUAGGGUGAAUUGAUUCUGAUCUGAUGUCUCGAGGUGCAAACAAGAAACAAAAAAAAAAAAAAAAAAAACCCAAGGGCUGGCUGGUUGUGGAGGGAGCAUCGAUAGUCGACAGGGAAGUCACUCUCAAGAAGACAAAGACCUGACGCCCCAAACUUCCAUUGCCAAAACCAAGAAAGUUGUACAGUUAAUAGUCCCUGUCAGUCAAGCCAUCAAUACCUGCAUGCCUUCUCUGCUAUCAUGUUUACAAACUGAAAACUAACUACUGAAAAGAAUGAAUAUUGAAUGAAGAAGAGUAGUAUUGUCUUCUCCAUCUUCUCUUUUAGCAUGUAUAAGUUAACUUUUUGGUCUGGCUGCAAUUAAGGGAAAGGACUGUAUUUUAUCUGUAUGUAUGUCAACAUGUUGUCUUAAGGAGUAAUGUUGGCGAUGGCUGAAGACAUUCCGAUCGAGAAAGCGACAAAUGCAAAGAUCCUUCUAUCUCUCUCUUUUCUCUCAUUGGAUUAAAAAGCCUUUUUUUUUUUCACUCACACACUGACACACUCUCUAUGUACAAGUACAUAGGGAGACUUUUUUCAUCCACUUACUAUGUGGAGUAAUAAAUUGUUGCAAAAUAAUUGAAUUGGAAAUCCGUAAAUGAAAGUGAUUCUUUUGUCUGUGACUAUCGAUCUGUUUCCGUGCCUGGUAGCUGUAACUGUAAACAAAGGUCUUCAUUCUCACAUACCUUAAUUUUCAAUAAAAGAUAACUAAUAAAAAAAAUUCAUAGCUUUGAUUAUUCUUGAUUAUUCCAGGAGGCAAAAUCAAUUGAGAACAACUCUCAAACUAAAGAAAUUAAGGUCGUAAUGGGUGUGACAAUUGUGUUAUAGUCCAAGAAAUGUUGCAUUCUUUUAUGAGGAAGAAAGGGAAAAUGGGGCAAAUGGCCAUCAAGUUGGAUCUUGAGAAGGCUUAUGACCGUUUGUAAUGGAGCUUUAUGAGGAAAGUCCUAACUUUCUUUAAUAUUCCCCAACCUCUUAUAACUCUUAUUAUGAGCUGUAUUUCCUCCUCAACUAUUUCGAUUAUGUUGAAUGGAGGUUUGCUCAAAAAACUGGCGCCUUCUAGAGUUUUAAGACAAGGGAGCCGUUUAUCCCCCCACUUGUAUAUAAUGUGCAUGGAAUUUUUGGGCUUUCACAUUCUUGAAUCAUGUGAUGAGAAGAAAUGGAUGGCUAGUAAAACUUCCAGAAAUGGUCCAACUCUCUCGCACAUUUUAUUUGCGGAUGAUGUCAUAUUAUUUGGUAGGGCGGAUAGUAAGACUCCAGGGGCUAUGAGAGAGGUGCUGACAAAUUUUUGCACGGAAUCGAGGCAAAGCAUUAACCUUGAAAAAUCGUGGGUCUACUUUUCACCAAACACUAACCAGGAUCAAAGGCAUAUCAUUGGCACUGUAUUGGGAAUCAAAGAAACAAAUAAUCCUGGGAAGUAUUUGGGAUUUCCUCUAAAUAAGAGCAGAGUUACCAAAUGGGAUUACUCUUUCAUAGUGGAAAAGAUCCGAAGGAAGUUAGCUGGGUGGAAAGUGAACCUCCUCUCAACUGCAGGACGGCUGACCUUGAUUAAAUCGGUUACCGAAUCCAUUCCCACGUAUUUUAUGCAAUGUCGAAAGCUCCCAGCUAGCAUUUGCAAUGAGUUGGAUCGUACCAACAAAAACUUUCUUUGGGGUGACAUGGAACAAAGGAAAAGAGUACACCUCUUAAUUUGGAGUGUAGUUACUUUAAGCAAACAUGAGGGUGGUUUAGGGUUGAAAGAGGCUAGGGUUUAGAGCCAAGCACAACUAACAAAACUUGCUUGGAGAUUCAUGCAUCAAAGCGAAUCUCUAUGGGUUCAAACGUUGAAAGCAAAAUACUUAAACCAGAGAAGCCAAGGGAUAGAUCCAGCUACAGCAUCAGUGACUUUGGAAAGCUAUGAAAUGGUCUGGGCCUAUUGUAGAAAAAGGGCUUGGUUGGAUCGUAUGAGAUGGGACCUUUACGAGGUUUUGGCAUGAUAAUUGGACCGGGAUUGGUAGCAUUAGGUCCAUGAUCCAAGGACCAUUAAACAAGCAUGAUAGCAAUGUGGACGUUAGACAAGUUCUGACUAGUCUACAGUGCCAACAUGACGCCACCAUCUCGUUCAUCCUCCCUCAAAUGGUUAUGGAGACCAUUAGAGCAAUGCCAAUGCAACUUUGUGGUCAGGAGACUGAUUUCUCCUGUAGGACAGCCUCUGAUACAGACUCGUUCACCCUUAAAUCUGCUUACAAACUUGUGAAAGGAGACUCAAAAAAACCAACUAAUGUCAAAUGGGCAUGGUUUUGGAAACUCAAAUUCCUUCCGAAACUCAAAAUUUUCAUUUGGGAAUGUAUGUACGAAAUUUUGCCUACUAAAACGUUCUUAAGGAAAAGAGGCUUGAAUAUACAAGAAGAAUGUGUGUGGUGCAACUGUGAACCAGAGGAUAUCCAGCACCUCUUCAAGGACUGUCAAAUGUGUCAAAAGUUAAUGGGUGAAUUAACAAGAUGUCUUAAAUCUCCAUUCUCCCCAAAUCAGUUUUAAGGAGUGGAUCAAAAGAAAUGUUAAUUGCAAGAACAGAUCAAGCCUUCAUGGUAUCCCAUGGGGCCUGAUGUUCAUGCACAUUUUGUGGGAGAUCUUGCUUGAAAGGAACCAUCGUGUCUUUAAGGGUCAGAGAGUUGAGGAUAACAUCGUUCGAAGAGCGAACGAAAGAGUGGCCGAAUACUUUGCCAUGAACCAAAAACCUAUAAGAGCAAACAUGUCUUCUUUUAUUCCUAUUCGUUGGAAUCCACCUGAUGCAGGCUGGUACAAACUCAAUACAGAUGGUUCAUCGAUGGGAAACCCAGGCAAAGCUGGAGCUGGAGCUGUCAUCCGUAACCAUGAAGGAAAAUGGGUCGUUGGGUCAUCUAGAUUUAUUGGAGUUGCCACGAACAUUCUUGCUGAGCUGUGGGCUCUAAGGGAUGGACUGUUGUUGGCUCAACAUCUCAAUAUUAAGAAACUUGAUAUUGACCUGGAUGCUUCUGUUAUCAUUUCUAUGAUUAAAAGUCAAUCUCCUCCUAAUCCACUUCUACUGCCAUUGAUCUCUGAUUGCCAGAAUCUUAUAGAUGCCUUUAACCAACAGCGGAUGAAACAUGUUUUCAGGGAAGGCAAUAGAUGUGAUGAUGCUCUCGCGUGUUUUGGAAGUAGAACCUUAUGUAAUAGUAUGAUGUGUAAUGAGGUCUGUUAUAUUAAGUUUCAAGAACCUCCCUCUUUUGUUCAUUCACUGCUGCAGGAGGAUGUAGCUGACUUUGUCGUGUUUCGUAUUAUUUAUUAAGUUAUGAUAGUUCCGUCUUCACACCCAAAAAAAAAAAAAAAAAAAGAAAUUAAGGAAUUAGACAAAAUUGAUGUUUGUGUGAUACUUACGAUAGUGCAAUAUAGGUUCAAUUUGUGCGAAUUAAACAACAUUAAAUUAAUUUUUUUGUACCGACACCGCAUCCAACCCACGGUCUUUUUUAGAUGACAAGAUAAUAUACCUCAAGUCAAAAUUACUUGGUUAUUAUUUUAAGUGAAGAAGUUAAUUACUUCUAUAUAUGAUUCCAUGCAUAUGCAUGCCUCCCCUUAUUUUCUCUCUCAUAAAGCUGUUGGUUGCAUCCAUCGUGCAUGUGGCUGUUAGCAUUAUACUAGCUGGUCUAGUUGAGAAAUUAAAUUAGAAUAGAAUUGAAGAUGCAGAUGGAGAAGGAGAAAUUCAUAUCAGGGAAUGAAAAUGAAUCCCCGCCCCGGUGGUGCCGCCUUGGAGAAGGAAACGGGCUACAGAAAUGGCAACACAUAAUGAUAUUACACAAUUCAAGCAAAAUGAGGAGAUACAUGCAAACACCAUGAGAGGUGUUGGAGGUGUCAGUCAUACCAAUUGCUGAGGGCUGAGGACUGAGCACUGAGGACUGAGGGUCGCCCGUUCGGCCAUUUCUUAAUGCUGGGUGGUUUUUUUUUUUUUUUUUCUUUUAUGCCUACAAGGUAAAAUUUAUAGCAUAGAACUUUAACCCUCACUUACUCCUUCCUCCUUAUAGUCCGUCAUUUUCAGUCUCCGCUCCUUCAACUUCAAUUCAACUCGAGUUUUUCACUAUUACGACCAAAUUUUUGCAACUGGUCACACCAAUUAAGUUAAUAAAUUUAUUCAAAAAAAAAAAAAACAAAAACAAAAACAAAACAAAAGAAAGAUAUCUGCAGAUCACUCACUUAGGUUACAGGCCGAACAAAACCCAAUCCAGCCCUACCAUUGGGCCUUAAUUGGAAAAUCAAUCCCAAUUCUUAAGCCUGCCUCGGAACGCUCAGGAGUAAGAAGUAAUGUAACUUUGAUCCAGGCUGGGGGAUGGGGGUGGGGGUAACAAAAUUUCUAUGUCCAUGAUCCAUCCCAAAAGAUUCAAACCGCGCCAGCUUAAGCCAAUGCUUGGUGUUAACAGACAGUUCUUGACGAAGACCUUAUUUACCCCUCUGCUUCAGCACUUUUAACUGGUUGUGCUUGUGCCCUUCCGAUUUCUAUCAAUUCUCCCUGAUUAUCAACAUAGUAAAGUUUCUUUCACUUUUGCUUAUGUUACUUAACCCAUUAACCCAAAAAAAAAAAAAAAAUACACCUCGUCCAUAAAUUAUGCCAUCCCACAACCAAUUACUGUUUGAGAACUUAAGAGGGUUUAGGAUCACGAAAAAUCUAACCCUUCAGGUUUAGGCCAUAAAUUCAAUUGCAAUAGCAAACACGUCAAUUUAGCAUAAAUAUUGUUUCAUCUAUAUAACCAGCUUUUAGAGGACCUGUUUCAGUUUAUAAAUAACCCUUUCAAAUCCACAGAAACAACAACAAACUUCUCAAAGGUGUUUUCUCUAAUAUCCAGACAAUGUUAUUUCUAUUAUUUACUAAUAUAGCGAUCAAACAUGACAUCGUGGCAGACCCUUAAUUCAUUGCAUAUUUCUGGGUCCACGAGCGGGCAGUGCUCUCAUAUUUAGCUCUAUCAGUCUUGUACAUGUGAGCAAUCUCAGGCACCAGAGGGUCAUCGGGAUUUGGGUCUGUAAGAAGUGAGCAUAUUGACAGAAGAACCUACAAAACAGACAGUUACAGCUAAUUAAAAGGUUAUGCAUGUGAGAAUAUAAUAAUAUUCAAGGGCUUUGUUAGGAUUGGAAUUAUGUUAAUCAAUGAUGAACAUGGUGUCCAUCUAUGAUUCAUGCAGAUUACAUAAUGGGAAUUAUAUUAAGUGUAUUACCUUGGAUAUGGUAAGGGCAGGGCUCCACUGCUCCUUGAGAAUGUCAAGACAGAUGCUUCCAUUGCUGUUGAUGUUAGGAUGGAAAACCUUUGUACGGAAAGAAACCUUUACAGAAGAUAAUUACUACAAUCAGGUAAAAUAGAAUCCUAAGAAUCACCUACUUUUGCAUAUAAUAGAAUAUAUAUAUAUAUAUAUAUAUAUAUAUCUCACAAGGAAAUACCAUAAAUUCAGCUUAAGAUAGAAAAAGUAUAACUUCUGCCAAAAUAAGCAGACAUGGCAGGUAAUAGACUACAUUUUUAAGUAACAAGAGCACAGGCACAUAGAAGACAGCAACAAAUUCCAACAAAGAAAAAAAAAAAAGCUAGCUAAUACAUGUUCAAGACAUUCGUUUAAACUCUUAAUUAAACCAAUGUUACAAAAAUAUGGACUAUUUUAGCAUACUAAAAAGAAAUCCACUCCCCUUUAUAAUCAGAAGCAGUGUUCUUUUUUCUCUGUAUUCUCUGUUUGUUAAAGCUGCUAUCUCAGAAAAGAUUUAAAUCUCUUUCAUGUGAUAAUAACACAAAAUCUAGCUUUAGCCCAACCACCAACCAUCCAAACCAAAUGAUACUGAUGUUUCAAUUAUAUAUAAAAUAAAACAGAUCUGAUUAGCAAGAGAAGAAGAGAAACAUUUCCAAGCAUUCCAUGACAUGUGCACAAGAGAUUUCUUGAUAGGCAGUCAAUCAGACACAUAAUAGUUGGAUGAAAUACAUGCUUUUUUUUUUUUUUUACCUUAGGUGGCUUGAACGGAUAGUCUGGGGGGAAGUGAAUGGCCACAAGGAAGACUCCUCCAGCAAAAGGACUGUCUGAUGGGCCCAUGAUUGUUGCUUGCCAGUGGAACAUAUCAUCAGCAACGGGGCCUGUAUACAUGCAGUAUUAUUUUAAAGAAACAAUUAAAUUAUUUUUCAUGAAAAGGUGCAAUCUGACCAUGUUCUCUAUUCCAUAUAUUGGCCAUUCUAAGGGGUUUUUGGAAAUAUUAAUCAAAACCCUGUCAGUAUCUAAACACAAUAACCAGUUGUCCCGUUCAUGGCAAAAACAGAUUACAGCUAACAACUUGUGGUAUUACUACUUGCCACUAAAGACUUACACCAUCUUGAAUUACCAACACCAAGAGAUUCAGUUAAACAAUCAACAACAAUAUAUAAUGGAUGAAGCAGAAAAUAAUCAUAUAGAUCGUAGGAACAUGAAUCACUAGGUUUAAUUAAUUCCACCAAAUUCAUAAUUGACUUAAAAGUAAAGAAAUUUAAUGAAUAAAGGAAACAAACCGGCACUGCAUGAAGCAGGAGGGUCCUUCUGCAGAUCCUUCAACUCCUUGUUAAUCCGCUUUGAAGCCAUUCAAAAACUCUCUAAAGUCUUCAACAAACAAUUGGAUGAUAACUGCAUUAAAAUCAUAUAUGAAAAAAUGCAAUAAUAAAGAAUCUAAAUUAAUAGUAACCCAACUAUCCUUUUCCAUUAAUAAAUUAUUUUAAUAGUCAACCGUGGAACAACAAAUAUUACAAAAUUUUUAAUUUUAUAUAAGAAAAACUCAAAGGUCUAAAAUUUUGAUGGAUUCAACAUAGUAUAAUACUACAAUUUAUUUAUGUGGAGCGGAGCUAAGUGACUCUAUUAAGAGCAAUUAAUGAUCUUUUUCCAGAUUUUCUAGGCAAGCAAACAAAGGCAUGGACAACAUAUAUUAUCAACAUAAAAAAAAAAAAAAAAACAGAGAUUAAAUUAAUAACAUAUAUUUGUAUUUUAUUUUAAAAAUUAAAAAAAAAAAAGAGAAAGAGAGAUGAAAACACCGAUCCAUCACCAAAAACAUAAUCGGAUUAAAAAAAUAGGGGAUAAAAUCAUAUUCUUGGGAAUCAAAAGCGAAGCAAAUAGUAGUAAAUCAAAAUGUAAAAAAUCUAAAAUAAGAAUAAAAAAGAAAAGAAUUUGGUGUAAAAAUUGAAUCGGAAAAAGAAAAAUCGAUGAAAAAGGAGAAAAGAGAGGUACCUGAAGGGGUGGAAAUGAGUGGAUUAGGGUAUGAAGCUAAAGAAGAAAAUAUUUGUGAAGUAAAAAAAUUCGGGGCUUUGGAUUUGAUAUUUAUUAUGAUUUAUAGAGAGAGAGAGAGAGAGAGAGGCGUUGGUGGCAGUGAUUCUCUGCCACGCGGCCCUCUUUAGUAUUUACUUGCCGCCUUCUUAUUCGCUCUUGUUUUUCUAAUUUCCAAAGGUGUCGGACGGCCUGAUCCGGGUGGUAUCGAGUCCAAUCCAAACAUGUUAUCAGCACUUUACGCGUUUAUAUUGGAGCGCAACUCAAUCCAAAUGUCGAGUCUAAGUAAAUCCAGAUAACUAAAGGAUAAAGCCCAAUUCUUUCAGGUCGACCCAAAUAGAUAUAUUCUUUAAAAAAUUAUAUUUUUAAUAUUUUAUUAAUUUUAAAAUACGAAUAAUUUAACAUAUAUAUUUUAAUAUUUAUAAUAUAAUAUUUCAUAUAUAUAUAUAUAUAUAAAAUAGCAAACUAGAGCUGUUGAUGAGUAUUUAGCUAGUAAAUUAAAAACUUAAUAUUGGGAGUUUGAGUAGGCCAAAAGAGGUGGUGCAUGUAUAUAUAUAUAUAACCUUGAGUUAUGUGUUCCGGAAAAGAGAUAAAGGAGAGUAAAUAAGCCUUUACCCCCCUUCCCCUUCACCCUCUAUAGUAGCCUAUUAUCCAAUACAAUAGAAAAGAGUAUUCUAUAUAGUGUCUUUUUUCUUGUCUUGGUUUUAGCUACUUUUCUCUUUAAGAAACUACCAUAGAGUUAAGGUGAAGUCCCUACUCUAUUCCUUGUCAGGAAUAGGGGACUUCCAAGUACGAGUUUAACAGAUAGUUAUGGAGUAGUCCCUAUUCUAUUCCGGACCUUUAAGAGUAGCCGGUCCGGAAUAGGGGACUACCUUUACGACUACGAGUUUAACUUCAGAGAAUAGCAGUUAUAGUAGGUAUCGUGCAUUCUAUACCUUUUAGAUACUGUUUAAAACGAGGAAUCUCCUUCCCCCCUCCUUUUCUAGACAGCUAUCGUUAUCGCUUUUGCUUUCGGAACCCUGCGUUCCCCGAUGGAACAGGGGAACUCCGGAUAGACCCCUUCCUAGACUCGAAAGAGACUAGAAGGAAUUCGUUCUUGCUUGACGGACCCCUGCGUUCACCUUCGGUUCUCUCCGGACGGACCCCUUCGGCGGACCCCCUGCGGGGCUAACCCGUACCAGUCCUAUCAAACGAGACUGAAAAACAAGUUAUUGUCUCUAAUUACAUAAGUGACUAAUGAACCUACUAGUAGCGGAAUCAGCUAAUCGAUAAGUGAAAGAGUCUUUAUUCAAUAAACUCAAAAGCACCCUUCUCACUCUUCUAUAUUAGCUGCUAGCUUAAAGGCUCAAGCUACUAUUAGACAAGACGGCAUUAGUUGGGGUAUGACAUCAGGAGAGCUUUGACUUGGGAUGGGUUCGACCCAUCUGUUUCAUAUACCCGUCAGGUAAAUCCUGACACGCAUGACCGAAACGACGCCGGCUCCAUACUGGAAACAUUACUAUCUUGUUCAGCAUAAUAUAAUGGUGAGUUAUGGUUUUUAGUCGAAGAAGAGGAGUCCAGGAAAGGAAACAAAGAAAAGGGAAGCUACAAUCGUGAGAGUGCCAUGCCCAUGACCCUCUCACUCGAAAGACGAGGUUUACGGCUGUCUUAUCUCUCUUCCCUCCCUACCAAUUAGUAGUCCGGGAGAGAAGAGAGGACAGCCUAAAGCCUCUACUCGUUACUGUGCCAUUUCGAUGGCCCAGUAACUCCUUUUUCGCUCUUUCCUGUCCUCUCCUCGCUCCUGUGCCAUUUUGAUGGCCCAUGAGCUCCUCUUCUGGACUCGUUAGAGAGGUUCCCUUGCCCCAAGGAACCCUCUCUAACUCCAUACUCGUUCUUUUGCUGAGCAAAAGAGUUCCAGGUGGUGAGGUAGAGUGAGGGAUUGCCCUCGCCCUUCGGGCUCCUUGAGUUAUGUGUUCCGGGGAAGGGGUAAAGGAGAGUAAAUAAGCUUUUAUCUCCCUUCCCCGGAACACAUAACUCAAGGUCCUCGUAGAACGAGAGCAAUCCCUCACUUUACACCCUCUAUAGUAGCUAUUAUCCAAUACAAUAGAAAAGAGUAUUCUAUAUAGUGUCUUUUUUCUUGUCUUGGCUUUUAGCUACUAAACCCUUUAAGAAAAAACCAUAGAGCUCUGCUUCGGUCCACCACCUGGGGGAUUAAAAAGGGGGUUUUUUUUAGUUUUUUCAGUUGUUUUCUUAGUUCUCUAAGGUAGUCCUGCUACGGUUCCAUAGAGAUCUUAUAAAGACAACCCGAGAAGUUAGAAAGAGGAAGACAUAAACUAGAAGGAGAAAGCCGAAGGAAAAAACAACUAGGAAGGAAAGCCUUAAAGAUACUAAUAGCUUUUUAAGGUGUUUCUUCAUCCUCCCCCCGAGGGGGAGAGAGGGGGUAACGUCCUUUUCAAGCUAUUCGAUUCGUCAAGGGUAGUCCCCUAUUCCGGACCGUCUACCUUUUAGGUCCGGAAUAGAGUAGGGACUACUCCUCUCUUAUUCCCAAGUCCUCUAUUCCUUCCCGGCCCACAAUAAAGGGAAGGAAUAGAAAAAGGACUUGACCGCUUUGUUAUUCCUGGCUUUCUUUCGAUCGGUUGUUGUCUUUUCUUUCCCUUCUGUCUUGUCUUCUCUUGCCUUCCUAAAGUCCCAAACGAAAAAACCCCAAUCCAAAUCCCAAUUCCCAGUAUGGAGCCACCUUCAUUCACCCCGGCAUGCCCACUUCCUUAGCUUCGUACUCUUUUUUUAAGUUUAAGGGAUAGUUGCCACCUCAACUAUCGAGCUACCUACCCAUCUCAGCUAGCUAAGCCUUCCGGUCCAUAGGUAAACGUCCGCCUUCUUGUAUUUCCAGCCGAGUCUGAAAGUCGUAUCUUGUUUCUUAAUUGAGUGACCUUCCUGAUUCUAAAGUCCUACUAUCAAACGUUACUCCCACUCAGAAUGGCUACUGGACAAGGAUGGGAAAGCAACUUCCCAGGAACUUGACUCAUCCAAAUGAGACUUGAUCCCUACCUCUAUAAGUCGGAUUCUAAGCGCUACCCCCUGCAUAGGUAGUACUCCCUUCCUGUUUCCUUAUCUUCUUCUCGGUCCCGGUAUAGAACGGAAACAAAGCCAAAUACGUCUUAACCCAUCUAACAAGCACUUAUAGAGCACCGCAGAUCCCUUUCUUCUUGUUAGCCCCGGAGUUAUAAGAAACUUGGGGGUAUCUCAAGUAAAAUAGAUCGAUCCCGGAUCUAACACAAUUGCUUAAGAUCCAAGGGUUAUGUCGAUAUCUAGCGUGGCAUGGUGCGUACCGUCGUGAGAGUGAGUUCAAUCUUGUGUGUAAAUGAAUGAAAGUCAAGGUCUCCUAUUCUAUUUCGAUUUGACUUUCUACGGUGGCGUCAGAGGUUCGGUGAGUGGCAUUGCCCUCCUUAGCUUCUUCGUCAUACCGACCUGACGCCUGUUCGUUACGAAAACAAGUGCUUAGCCGACCUGAUACCUUUUAUCCAGAGUGUGAAAACCACUCUCAACUAUGAAUAGGACUCUUAAUAGGCUUUACUUAAUAACGAGUAGGUUUCCUUCCCGGAAAAAGACCUAACUUUACGUAACCCGGACAUUAAAUCCCUGUACUUCUAACCCAGAGCUUCUUGCUUGAACGCUUGCUUGAAAGAAUAAGGUGUUUGAUCCUGAAAUGCCGCACCCUUAUUCGCAAUAGCCUCGUCAUGCCCAGCGGAUCCAAUAGAAAAGCGGUGACCUUUUUUUGCUUUGGGAACUGAAUAAUCGAUUUCUGGGGCCUACCUUUACCACCUGUAGUCACAUCACCUAGGGCACAUAAAUAAUUGCAUGACCCGGAGAGGAGACCCACGCUAGCUCCUUGACUAAGUACCGCCCCGAUCCGACCUGUACAACUACCUUUCCAAACCCUGACCUGGGCAACCAGAGCGCCCACCUAUAUUAAACUAAAAAGUACAUGCCACCACCAGAACAUCUUAUACUUUAAGUCUGUUUUGUAGUAGUCUAAUGUUCAGAGGUUUCCGACGUACCCAGAAGUCAGGAUGUAUUCCUCUCAUCUUUCUUCUGUCUCACAGCGGAAGGAUUGUCGAUAGGCGGACGGUUAACCCCGGCAUCAACUUUAGAACGCUUUAAUCCCUCAGGAGUCUCAGGUGUGAUCAGAGGUUCCGAUGUUUUCUAGUACUAAAAAUAGAAUCCUUACUGGAAAUGUUCGAACGUCACUUAUGAAAUUAUGAGGAUUGAGAUAAUAAAAAAGUUAAAGUAGAAGCUAGAACCUAAAAGCUAUCUAGUUUCAUGGUAUCUAUCUUAAGGGUUUAUAAGAGAAACCUACGAGUUUACUAAUUAUUAAAUGCACGAUAUACCUCUAUUAUUACUCUUUUCUUGAUUUACUAGAAGUGUAGUCUCCCCCUCCUAGACUACCAGAACUGAAAGAUAUAUUUAGCUAGUAAAUUAAAAACUUAAUGUUGGGGGUUUGAGUAGGCCAAAAGAGGUGGUGCAUGUGUGUGUAUAUAUAUAUAUAUAUAUAAAUAUAUAUAUACAUAUAUGUGGAUAUAUAUACAUAUAUAUAUUUUGUUUCAUUAAGCAACCUCCCCUCCUUUGUACCGUCAAAUAGAACCCAUCAAAUGUUGGAUGGUUCAAACUUAAUACUGAUUGCUCUUCCAUUGGUAACCCUGGUAAAGCAGGGGCGGCGCUAUUAUCAGAGGCCAUAAUGGAUCCUGGAUUGCUAGCUCACUCAGGUACAUUGGUAGAGCAACAAGUGUUGAAGCUGAAUUCUGGGCACUCAGGGAUGGUUUAUCACUAGCUAUCUUCAAGCAUAUUAAAUACCCUGAAAUCGAACUGGAUGCCAAGGUUGCUAUAGGCCUCAUCACUGCCCCUGACUCACACACUAGCCAUGUUCUGGAUCCUCUUAUUGUUGCCUGCAUAACACUGUUUAACCAACUACCACAGAGGAAGGUUGCUCGUAUCUUUCGUGAAGCAAACAAAUGUGCGGACGCUUUGGCAAGGAAAGGCAGUGAAGCAGCCUAGAGUAUUGGGAACUUUUGCAACUUUUGUAACAUCGCAAAUGACAUAAACCCUUAUUUUGUCAUGCAUGUUGAACCGCCCAGCUUUCUGCAGCCCUUAAUCAUGGCUAUUAUUGCUGCAACUACUAUGUACCGUUCUCUUUAUUAAUCUAUCUGCUUUCCUAAACUGACCAAAAAAAAAAACGCAGAAGUUUCUUACUUUAUCUGUAACUUCCUUGAAGGUUAACUUAUAUGUCUAUUAAUUAUUUUUUUUCAGUUUUCUACCAUGAUAAUAUACCCAUUCUGUCAAAGCUAAAGGGUUUUUUUUUUUUUUUUUUUUUCAUUUAAACAAAGAGUAGUUCAUUCUUGACUGUUAUACAUCAUAAUUAGAAUUCGACUUCAUUUUUUUUUUAAUUUUGAACUAUAAGUCAAAGAUGCCUCAAGAGAGGAAGGGUUGUUGUGCUAUUCUCCAUAGUGUUUUCUACAUGAAUUGCUCCCUAAUUUCUUCCAUGCACAUUGCUAUUCUCCCAGCUUGAUUUUCCCAUGUUUUACAAUUUGACUGAAAUAUUGAAGCUGAUCAGAUGUCAUGAGCACUGCUGCCAAAGUUGCUUGAGAUCAGCUCACCAAUUUACAAGUGCUUGUCCUCGGCAACGUCAGUCUUCAGCCCCUAAACAAGUACUGCAUCAAAUCCAAUUACUCUUAGGUUCUGUGUUCUGUUUGUUUAUUUUUUGCCCCAGAAUCUUGAGUGCCACAGAUCAGAAGUGCUGCCUAGCCAUUUUUUAUUUAACCCAGCUGAGGGACCAUGAAAAAUUUGUUUGGAAGCCACCAUGCACCAGGCGCGCGUGAAUGCUUGCUUGUUAAUUUGUCACAGCACCUUGUUAGGACUAUUCAUGUUGGUGUUGAACCUUGACCUUACCUCUCUGUCUAGCAGUGAAGGGUUGGUCCUUACUACAUUGCUGUCAACACAAUGCUCUUCAGCUUUAAGAAAAUGCAAUUAUAUAUAUGAGGUUGUGAGAUGUGCUAUGAAACUUCCAAUGUUUUUUUACCUUUUGACACUUCUUUUUGUUAUCGCUCAACCUUCUUUCUUCAUAAUCUCCUUUCCUUUGCAUCUAUUUAAUCUAGAGCCAUCUACUUUUUUAAACUUUAUGCUAAAAAAAAAUGACGUUAUAUGUGGGACUGAGGGAGUCCAUAUAAUAAUAAGGUCUGUAUAUAUCUAUGAACCGAUGAAGAUGGAAUCUAUGUUCAGCAGAAGAUGUUAAUUUGGUUUAUAUAUACACCUAAUCUAACCCUUUGAUGGAUGGAUGAAUGAUGAAUUGAUGAUGAUAAUAGCGUUACUAUUUAAGGUGGCUGACGUAUUUGUCAUGUUGUGGGAAAAGUCAGCGCAGAUAAUUUAUAGUUAGUGUGCAACCACAACAAUGGCCUGGGAAUGGAACAAACCGUCAUGAAACAAAAGACGUGGUGGGUUCACCAUAAAUCUUGGUUUCUAAGCACUUCAGUCUAACAUCAAACUACACAAUCCAACCCCACACUCUCCCUCUUUUUUCUCUGACUUCUAUUCUUCUUCUUCUUCCAUCUUCCUUAAUUUUAUCUGUCUCUUUUGUCUCCCUUCACAACUCAGAUUGUUUUGUUUGUUUGACAUCAAUUUAGAUCUCUUAUUUUCCUAUCUGGAGUUGGCUUUUCUUGUUUGCUAGCUGUUGGGACUUGGGAGCUGAACUCUUCUUUAUUCUCUAGUUGGUUGAAUUCCAGCCUUUUCCGUUUGGGUUUUGGUAGCAGAAGGCUGAAAAGGAUCCUGGUUUGCUUUUGAAGUCCCUACUUCUUCCAAGUGAGUGCUUCUGCUUUCUUUUUUUUUUUUUUGCCUUUCCUAUUCUUUUUGGAAUAGAAUUAUUUUUGUUUUUGUUUGUUUUUUUUUUUUUUUUUCUUGAGAUCAAUCAAUCCUACUGCUUUUUGUCCUGUAAUUAAUCAUGGGAUCAUUGACUGCCAUCCAGUUGGUCUUUCAUUUUCUUGUUAACCAAUCAUAUUUGAUGCUAUAUGUCUGAGGCCGAGGCUGCAUUUUUACUCGAUUUAUUGCUCAGCCAUGAGCCAUAGAUGAAGAGCUGUUGAUAGCUCAUCAAAUAUCUGAUCUCUGAUCUCUGAUCUCAAGUUGGGCUUGUACCAUAUCAAAUAUAUGUUGUAGCUGCUUUAUAUCCUGGAUUAUUGAUAUUGUCAGGGAUCAGAACUUACUCCGUAUUUUCUACAAUGAGAUGGCUUGAGUAAAUUUUAAUAUUUUGUACUUGUGUGGGCAGGCUAAUAUUUAGCCGGUCUCCUGUGUCGAACUGAUAGUUGGAAAUGGGAGGUGCAGCGGGAAAGGGUGAAUCAUCUGAAAUGAUGUGGGUAGCAGAAACAAAACUAGAAGCUAAAAUGGUUGAAGCUAUGCAGCGAAGGGCAUCUGAAGGAACUGCAAUGAAAUCCUUCAACAGCAUAAUCUUAAAAUUCCCUAAAAUUGAUGAGAGCUUAAGGAAGUGCAAAGGUAUUUUUGAGCAGUUUGGUAAGUAUAUUCCCUUUUUAUCCCUUUUAUAUAAGUGUUGUACAAUUAGAGAUGAGUAUUCCUAAUGAUCAUUUCAUGACCCUAAACAUGAAUUUGUUAAUCCCCUGUAGAAAUACGCAUUGCAUUUCUGUGUCUGAACUGAGACAUAUGUAUGGUUAUUGCAGUGAAUCAAUUAAGUUUUAUGUUGAAAUCUUCAUCCAAUGAUUGUUUAUUUAUGCAUAAUAUUUUGAGAGGCAUGUUUCCAUUGCGUUUCUUUGUAGAUGAGGAUUCAAAUGGUUCAAUUGACCAUGAAGAGCUGAAAAAAUGUUUCCACAAGCUUGAAGUUUCUUUCACAGAGGAGGAGAUAAAUGAUCUGUUUAAGGCAUGCGAUAUCAAUGAGGAUAGGGGAAUAAAAUUCAACGAGUUUAUUGUAGUUCUUUGCCUUGUCUAUCUGCUGAAGGAUAAUGCUACUGCACUUGAAGCUGUAUCCUUAACACAAAUCUUGAUUCACUGUGUUUACGUUUAAGGUCGUGUUUGUUGCAUUUUUCUGAUAGGUAGAAGUCAUUCUCUAAGUGAUAUUUAACUGUCCUGGAAAAUUUACCUUGAUGUGGUGUGUUUCAUAUACCACAUGCCUUUUUGAUGGUGUAAACUGUUUUUUUUUUAAAGGUUAUUUGGCUGUUCCUUUCAUGUGAGAAUUCCCAUGUAUUUAGAGAACAAUCAAUGGCAUUCAUCCUCCUCUCACCAGAAUGCCCUACUACUUGUGAAUUCUGUUUUAAAUGUACCAUGAGUCCUGUUCUGCCGAUUUCAUACAAUAAUUUUUCCAAAACAUUUUCUUGUCAUCCAUCAAUACAAAAAGUACCAUUAUAAGCUUCAAAGGUUCUAGACUCCUGAGAUGAAUCUGGAACUUUGGUGCGAUGGCUUGAAAGUUUAACUACCUAAAAUUAAGAGUCAGAUGUAGCAGGUAUACAUCCCUAUAACACUUAAUAUGAUUGUGUUUGACUUUGUGGGUCUGUUAUCUUGGUCUUCCAUGACAUUGUUAGAAAUCACGAAUGGGAAUGCCAAAUUUGGAGGCCACUUUCGAAACUUUGGUUGAUGCAUUUGUGUUUUUGGACAAGAACAAGGAUGGUUAUGUUAGCAAGAACGAGAUGGUUCAAGCCAUAACUGAAUCCGGGGAGCGUUCAUCUGGACGAAUAGCCAUGAAAAGAUUUGGUCAGCUCUCUCUCUCUCUGUGUAUACCAGAAAGAAAAUGCUUACCCAAACUCAAAUUCACAUGUCAACAUGUGAAUUUUGGUGCUUACUUGCCUAGACAAUUAUGCAGAAAAAUGCAUGUAUAUUUUGCUUAAUGGCAUGCAAGAGGCGCUUGUGUCGGUUUAGAGCAUAGACAUGACAUAUAUACAUAUAUAUAUAUAUAUAUAUUUAUAUGGCUUGGAUUGACAGAAGAAGAUUGUAGUACAGCGUCCAAGAUUCCUUAAUAACUUUGCUGACAUAGAUAGAUUCAUCUCCCAGGAAUGUCCGUUUGUUGAGUUCAUGUUUUACUCCACUUAUAUAAAUAGCAUUAACAAAAGUACUUAGGAAUGGGAGUCAGGCUCAUAGUGUAUUGUGUGAUUUUGCAGAAGAGAUGGACUGGGAUAAAAAUGGAUCGGUGAAUUUCAAGGAAUUUCUUUUUGCAUUUACAAGUUGGGUUGGAAUCGAUGACAUGGAAGACGAUGAAGAAGAGUAAGGGACGAUCUGAAUCAACAUAUAUAUAGCUUUAGCUAUACUUAUCAUGAGUCAUGGCUGGUAGCUAGCUAGCACUCAAGUUCCUACUUGAUCCUGUCUUUUUUUUUUUGUUUUUUUCAAUAAUGAUAUGAAUAUUCAAGUUGAUGUAGAAACAUAUAGGAUAAGAGUGAGUUGUGUGCAUUCCUUUAAAAUCUUCAUUGUAAAUGGUCUAAAAAUAAGAUGAAGGAGGUUGUAUCAUGCUUUGACCAUUAAACAACUCUGGCCUUUCUUGUAGUUUGGUUUUGAGUUUUGAUGAACCAAUAACAGCUUGUUGGCUGUCAUUCCUUGAAUGGAUGUUGAAUCUGCUUCAAAUAAUAUGCCCUGCCGACUAGCUAGAUGUGAAAUUGUGCACAGUAAGAGGUUUGUUUCUCAAAAUUUUUAGAUUCUUAAUUUGCGCAAGAAUUCCAUUUAAGUUUUUAAACAAAUACAUAAAUCAAAACUUUUCCAAUAAGCACAAUGUUUAGUCUGUAAAAUUAUAUUCAGCUUUUUUAUUUAGUCUAAUCAAAACAUGAUGCAUCCGAUCCGAUCCUUUCAUUUUGGCAAAUCCACUACAUGCUCUGCUCCAACAAUACCUAAUGGUAGGCAACACACACACACACAAACAGCUUUUCCUUUAAUAUCACUUUAGAAUUAAAAGGAGAUUGAAGCCAAUUUUCAGAUUCAAAUAAUAAAAUCCCCAAACUAUAUGAUGAUGGAUGAAUGCAGCGAAAGAAAGGGCAAGGAAGAGAGGAAAAGGGAAUAGAACCAGUUGCAGAGGCAGCAAAGCGCAUUUACUAACAAAGGAAAGAAUGCCUUCAAUAACACACACACACACACACACACAUAUACAUAUAUAUAUAUAUAUAUAUAUAUAUAUAUAUAUAUAUAUACACACACACACACACUCAGUACUAAUAUUUGUAAUAUCUAAAAGUGCAAAUCUACAAUUUGAUAACACAAAACACUCCAACCCAUACGACAUUUUAAUAAAAUCACCUGACUUCGCGUUCACCGUAUACAAUCAUACCUUAACUUCCUCACAUAUAUAGGUUCCCUCAUAUCAAAACUGUCAUUUCAAGCUUAAUUAUAAUAUAUGACCUAAUUAUAAUACACGCACAGUUUUAGAGAGCUAUUGCCUGAACCAACAUGCAAAUGCAACCCAUUCCUCACUGUGUGAUACCAUCAUUUAACCUCUCCCAAACACAACACAAACACACUUCAUAUAGACACAAGCAAGUUAGAACUGAAUUAGCACACAACUGUGCCAGUGCCCCGACACCAGUUGGAGGCAUUCACUGACACAGCAAUACCUGCAAUGUCAGGGAACCUGCCUGUCUUAUGGCAGACACUGAGACCCAAGCUCCAAUAGCCCACAUGUAGGGAUCCUUUACCCUCUAGUCUUUGCUCGCUUCAUUCCAAGGCUGUUGUGGAAGGGGGAUACAGAACCAGACAUGGAAGAACCUUCCUCACGAAGUGUACCAUUCAGCAUUGCUAACUCUCGCAGCUGUUGUUUCUUAUAGAAAUCCUGGGACUCAUCCUAUUUUUAAAAAAUAAAAACCAUAUUUACAUGAUACCUAAUAAACACAUAAACUAAUACUAUCACAAGAGAAGGAAAUUUGACUUCACCACAGGCUUGAGCAAAUCUUCAAGUAUCUCCCGUGCCUGCAUUAGGCGAGCAUCAACUAUUUCAAGAGGUAAUUCUGCCUCGACUAGGAUAUGUAGAGGUUCAUUCAGAUGUUCAUACCCAGGUUUUCCUCUCAUCAUUUCUUCCUUCACAAUUUUAAAAGACAACAUUACCACAUUUAUAUCCAUAUAAAGAGUGAGAGAGAGAAUUCUGCAUUCACCAAAAAGUACAGAAAAUUCAAGAUCAGGUAUGCUGCUUCUUUAGAACUAAAUCAAGACCUAAUUCAUUGAAGUUUAUGCAUAUUGGGAACUGCUAAAAUGUUUAAGGCUCCAUGAUUCAUAGGUUUCACCUUCAUCAAAAUCUUUGAACUAUGAUAAGCAAUUUUCCAAAGCUAUAACUACUCAGAAAGAUGUAAAGAAAAGGAUCAUUAUUACCCUAGCUGGAUCCUUAAUACUGCCCCGCCCUCUUAUCAGGACACGGCACUCUGUAUUUGCCUCCACACACUUAAGCGAGUUGCCCCUAGGACCAAGGAGGCGGCCAACAAAAUUGUACUGCAACAUUAAAUUAUUUUAGAUGCUGAAAAAGAAAAUUUCUAAAAUCACUGCUAGGACAGGAGUUCAUUCAUACAUUAGGGUAGUUGUUGACAGGAAUAUCCACUCUGAUUGUUCUCUUAACAAUAAGACCAGAAGAGCUACCCUGAGAACUCAGCCAGUUCUGUGCCGAAGAGGGCUGUACUAAACCUGAAAUCUGCACCAUAAUAUUCCAGGUUUUGUUAAAAAAACCAUAGCAACGGAUUAAUGCAAAUGUCUUCCAUUGUAUGGCAUGGAUAAGAUUAGGGAACAGAAGACCCAUUCUUUAUAAAUGCACCAUGAAUUCCUGAAAGACAUUUCAAGACAAGUAACUUGAACAAAUAAAAAAAAUCAUUCCGACAAAGAAUAUAGUAAAACUGAAAUUCAGGGACUACCAAGACUAAAAGAAGUAACAUAUGAUUUUCCAGAUGAAUUUGGCCCCUACUAACACACGCAAGCAUCAAGUUCUUGGGAUCAGAUGAAACCAUCUAAGCAGCUUCUAUGAUUUCCACAAAUAUAAAACAGGUAGCUGGAAUCAUGGAAACCACUUUGGGGGGAGUAAAAAAUGCCCGUUUAGUUAUUGAAGUCAGCAAUAAAAUACACAGUUCAAAGAAUAGCCCUCUUAUCAGAACUCCUAAUGUGCAAAAUCUCAGACUUGAUCCACAUUUCAGGCUUCCAUCCUAACAGAAACUGCAUUUUAAAACCAUAUAAGAUUAUGACAAACUGUCAUCCCCUGCAUAUCUGAUUUUAUCUUGACAAUAAUUAAGGCCAGAGAAACGAGUUAUAUAAUUAGAAGCAACAGCCUGAAACAUUUUCUAAGCUAAAACUAGUUCUCAGAACUUCUUCAUGUUAGCCUCAGACUGCCUGUAAUAAGAGAAACCACAAUGCAAGCUACAAGUCAAAUAAAGGUUAGGUUAGCAAGAAAUGUAAUAAAAUAUUAAGUCAGCAAUACCUCUAAAAGCAGUAAAAUUAGAUGGUAAAGAGUUAUGUUAAUGGUUAGUAUCCAUACUUCUGAUUGAAACGUCCAUCCGUUCAUAUCGGCUCCUCCAUUUGAAAAUAUUCCUCCAGAAGCCAGGGGGCUAGCUUGUUCAAGCCCACUUUGACCUAAAACUGAUGCAUUCCCCAACAGUGUAGUUACACGCAAAAUUUCUGCUCCAAAAAUGUCAUUUUCAAGAAUAAGAUGUACCAGUUAGUGGUUAAUAAAUCAGUUAGCAGUCACCGCAAAAUGGAGAGACUACACGGAAUGUUAAUUUAGUCAGUUAAAUAUCAACUCUUCCUUCAUAAAAUAAGCAACUCUUCCAGUUGAAUGCAUUCUGGUAUGAAAUGAAAAGAAAGAUGCAGUGAAAUUCUAAUUUGGUUUAUUUAUACACCAAUAAAAGACAUUUUUAUAUUAAUUAAAAAAGAAUUAUUUGACUGAGAAUCUUGCAAAACCAAGGAGGAAUCAAUGCACUGUUAGAAUCUGAAAUCAUACAAGUGAAUACAAAAAAGCACAGGAAGUUGUCAGUUGAGAACCUAACAUUUUUUAUAUAUUAAUUAAAAUUUCAGUAAAUUUUAAAAUAUCUUUUACACUUUUGCAUUUGUCAGUUGAGAACCUAACAUUUUUUAUAUAUUAAUAAUUUUGUUUAAACCCACCAUAGGCUGGCUGCUCCCCAAGAUGAAUACCAGUAGAAUCACUGGCUUUCCCUCUGUACCUCUUUCUUCAUAUCCUUAACUUCCUCCCUCACCAUUAGUGAGGUUCAGAACCUUCCUUUUUCCUCCCUCUUUGUUUCCAUUCUCUUCUUUUCUCUUAGGACUGCACUAGAAACCUUUUCUUUCUUCUUUAUCAUUCCCUUUAUUGCCUCCUAAGAUAUGUCUAAUAAUAUGGUGUGACAUAGAGGAGCUACCGAGGUUCAUGAAAGAUUCAUCCUAUUGGUUUUUGAAACUUAUUUAGAACCAUAGCUUCUGCUGUAUCAUUAUUGCUCUACACGAAAAAAAAAAGAAAAGAAAAUGUAAGCAAGCCUUCCGUAGAGGAUUCUAAAUUGCAGGCAGCCCCAACUUGAUAAUGAUUUAGUAGAUAUUAGCUCUAGAUAGAAGCUAUUGACAGGAGAUUUAGUGCUAAAGUUAAGUGUUAGUGGGUUGAUCCCUAAUUAUCAUUUCUAGACAGUUAUUUGUCAGUUAACAGUUAGCUUUAAGUUGUGGUUUUAAUGACAAAAAAGAGGGAAGGAGACAUUGCUCUGCACGAUCCUUUGAGAAGAAAGAAGAUUGCCAAUUCGAGAAACUCACCCUGGUUCAACAACCGAUAGGUAUGAGGGAGCACUGGCAUAAAUGGACUAAGCUUGUGACGCUCUGCCAGUAAGUCCGCGAGAUAUCUGCAAAAAGGAAAAUUCAAAUAAAAACCAUCACCCAAUUGUGGAUUAACACAUCUAAACAAAAGAAUAAUCUCCAACUACUGUGAAAAGGUGACGUUAAAGUUAAGCGGAAACAGAGUCAUCAAUGAGAGUUGCACACAAUCCACAGUUAUUUAGCUUCGAUUCAAUACAACAAUUCCCAGAUCACAACUUGAACCUCAAAAAAACCCCGCAUACAACACAAUGAAAGCUUCAAACCACUAGAACUUCACCGACUCGAAAAUGUGAACUGAUCUGUUAGUACAAUCAUAACAUGAUCAGUAACUCAGAACAAAAAGCAUAAUCAGCUCAGAAAACGAACGAUGGAGCUCUAGAUCUUGGAAAUUACGGCACAAGUGAGGUGAGUAAACAAGUUUAACACUAACCAAAGCAAUGAUAAGCAAAAGAGAAAGAUCGGAGGAGUAGAAGUAAGCAGAGAAGAUGGCAAGGUGUUGAUUAACAUAAAUGUAAGAGAGGAGAGAGCAUACUUGUCAUGAUCGAGGAGGGCGGCGGCGGAGCGAAGGCCAGAAAGGUGAGGAGAGUGAGGGGCGGAAGGCGAGGGAGAGCAGGCCAUGUAUCUGCCACCGCCAGCGGCCGAUGAAGUCAUGAGUAGAAGAGAAGGGUGGUGGCUGUUGUUUGUGUGUAUAUAAAUCUAUAUUUUUUUAAUAUAUGGGUGUAAGUAAAGAGAGGAGGAGGUGUGUUUGGCACCGUGUGGUGGUGCCAGCUAUCUCAUUUCUUUAUCCUAGGCCAAUGGGCGUCGGUGGAAGUUUUUUGCUUUAAUUUUUAUUUAAUUUUUGCGGUCAGUGAGUGUGUAAUCAUUGUUUUUGACUUGCUUUUACUGCUUCCACCCAAAGUUUUAUGAUUUUAUUCCAUUUUUUACUUUUUUUUUCUUUUAUUCACACUUAAUUCUUAAUACCAAUAAAUUAAAUUUAUUCCACUAUUACACACACACACAACACAUAUAUAUAUAUAUAUUAUUUUUCGUCUCCAAUUAUUGACGUAAUGUCAAUUUUUAUUUUCUGAAAUUAGUUUUACUCUCUCUCAGUAUUACGAUUACGAUUAGUUAUAUGAAAAUAAUAAAAAAAAAAAAAACUUAAAAUUACUUUAUUGGUCCUUUUAUUUUUCUAAAUCUCGUAAAUAACCUUCUAUUAUUUCAUUGUUGCACAAAACAAAGAGGAUUCUGUUCUGCUACAAGGAGAGAAAUUGCUAUAACCCCAGAGAGGAAGAGAGAUGGAUGACAAAAUACCUUUCAAGAAUCUGCUUAGCAGAGAGUAUCAAGCUCACAAAAAGAAAAUAACAACUUUUUUUCUUUUCUUUUUACUCUCCCUUUCGUAAGAUUAUUAUUCAUAUCAAGUUAAUUCAUUUCUCUGUUGAAAGGUGCAUUCUGUGGCCUGCAAUUGCACAGGCACCAAGCUUGCUUCCGGUUCUGUCGAUCAAACCGCUCGAGUUUGGCAUGUUGAGCCUCACGGACAUGUAUAUCCCUUUCCUUUUUCCUAAUUUUCUACGUUCUUCACUGUUUCUGGCUAGUUUUCGUUUAUCCACGCAAACCAAGGGAGCAAAGGAAUCUGUGGGGGAUUUGAGUGAGGCUAUUAUCAGAACACUAAUGUUUAGUAGUUUUUAUUUAUGGGUAUCCUUUGCUUUUGCAUUUAGGAUACACUAAUACGGGCAUUUUUAGAUGUCUCAAUAACAUAUAGUCUGUUGCAUCCAACCAUUUCAUUGUGUCUUCACCAUAAGGAUGGUUAACUUUGCAAAAUUUAUCUGAAAUGAAUUUUGAUUGUUGACAUUAUAUUCGAAUAUUUCUGAGUGCUCUCUCCUCUAAAAUUCACGUUGUUGUAUGUUAACUUACCUUAAGAAUGCGGUUGACAUAUUGGAUUAGAAUUUAAUAAUGUUAUGUUGCUAAUAGUAAAGUUCUUAUGGUUAUUUUGUAAUGUCUGGUGCAGGGUAAGGCUAAAGAUAUUGAAUUGACGGGUCACACAGAUAGUGUGGAUCAACUAUGUUGGGACCCUAAACAUGCUGAUCUCAUAGGAACUGCAUCUGGUGAUAAGACUGUUCGUUUGUGGGAUGCUCGCGGUAAGUGAAUGCUCUUUUGCAUUAUUGUUUAGAAUGCUGGAGAGGGGAGGGAAAGACAACUAUAGUUUCAUGCAGCUCAGCCACAAUUCUUUUGUUGAAUAUUAUGCACUCUUCGUUGAGUCUGAAUGAAAGCUUCUUAUUGGAGGCUAACUAAAUAAAUAAUUAUGAUGUCAAUCAUCAGAUAGGUGUGUACCUUUGCCUGCUUCAGCUUUUGCAGGUGGAAAGUGCUCACAGCAAGCAGAACUUAGUGGGGAGAAUAUAAACAUCACCUAUAAACCUGAUGGGACACACAUUGCUGUUGGUAAUAGGGUAUGUCUUACUGUCUUAUGUCACUUGGAGCACUUCAGCACUUCAGUGACGUCUGAAGUUUUUACGCAUGCUAGAUUCUUAGCAGAAGAGCAGUUUCUGUUUCAUUUUUUAUCAUGCUAAUAAAUUAUUUUUAUCAUUGAUCUUACUCUAUUUUAUUUUACUGUAGGAUGAUGAAUUAACAAUAUUGGAUGUUUGGAAAUUUAAGCCUAUUCACAGACGCAAGUUUAAUUACAAGGCAUUUUUGAGUUCAUACCAAUUUGCUCUCCUCUCCUUUGUUAGUUUUAAUCACCCUUCAAAAUGAGGGUUUUGGAAAACAUAUUGCUAUUUGCACUAGUGCUUCAGUUCUCCUUUGUUUAACUUUUACAUAGAACACUGCCUUCACAAUUAUAAAGUAGCAACCAGCUUUAAAUGGCAUUCACGUAAUACAUAGUUGGCAUUAAUGAUGCCAAAUAUCAUAAAUUUUUUGGCCUUGUCUCAGUUAACUUUUUGAAACUAAUCAUAUCAAUCUAGAAAUUGGUACCUAAGAUUUAUAAGUAAAUGGAUGAAUAAAUUCAUUGAGUCAUACAUUUCUUUUUCCAGGUAAAAGAAAUUGCUUGGAACAUGACAAGAGAUAUGUUAUUUUUGACGACUGGAAAUGGUUAGAACAAUUUUUAUUUAGCCAUUACACUUUUCUCUUUGAUUCAAAAAUUGUUAUUGUUACUCCUUAAAUUAUAGGAUGUUUAUGUUCUAUACGUUGAAUGUUCUUCUCAGGUACUGUUGAAGUACUUGCAUAUCCAUUACUUAGACCAGUUGACACCCUUAUGGCUUACACAGCUGGUUGCUACUGCAUUGCAAUUGAACCCACAGGAAGGUUUGGUUUAAAUCUUAGUUUCUAAGCUUUGUUGCAUCUUGACAUUGUUGGUUGCCCACCCUCAUAUAUCCAUAUGCAUAUAUCAUAUUUUAUAAUCUAUAUCUUUAACAUUUAUAAUUUGUCACAACAUUCAUACAUGUAAGGUCAUUUUUGUUCUUUUAAUAUGGGGUAUUCAAUGAGUUCUUUUUUUCCAUGGAGUGGAUAUAGGUUUCCAAUAAAUCCAAUGUUACUCUUUUGUGGUAGAUAUUUUGCUGUUGGGAGUGCUGAUUCCUUAGUCAUCCUUUGAGAUAUAUCAGAGAUGCUUUGUGUGCUAACAUUUACAAAGCUUGAGUAAGUUGCACCUGAAUUCAUAAUUUUAUAUUUUAAUUCCUUGAUCUCAUAUAUCUGUGCUUUUAUGUAUUUGAGGUUGAGACUUUAAUCAUAUUUGUCAUGGGCAUGAAAUAACCAUUCAUGUCCUGUUGGUGGCCUGUCCGGACAAUAAGCUUCAAUUACUUGGGAGACUAUAUUGCUUCUGCCUGUGAAGACCUAUUUAUUGAUAUAGUAUGUAUUUGGACUUCCUUACAUUGGCUUUUCCUCCUUGUAGGAUACAUCUAUAAAAUAGUUAGUCAAAAAUAUUGCAUUCACUGGACGAACCGUGCAUCAAAUUCCUUGCCGAGCUAUAUGACCUAUGCAGGAGACGAGCAAAUAUUCAGCUGAUGAAGGAUAUUUCGGAUAUUGGCUUUGAAAGCAUAUUACUGUAGUCCUUCUUCUAUAGUUCUAGUUGAAAGCAUUUUCUCUGCGAAACCAACUUAUGCAUUUGUGAGUUAAGGUUGCAAAACUGAAUUUUUGCAAAUUGAGUGGAGGAGACAAUGAAUAAAGAACAAAAAUGGAACUUGGUGAGCAAAUAGUUAGGGAAAUUUUGCUUGAUGCUCUACGGUGGCUACAUACAAGUUGAUAAAAAAAUGAAGGGUGGGUUUCUUCUUUUUUUUUUUUUUUUUUCAUUUGAAUUGAAUAGAAGAACUUCUUGUACAGCAAAAAUUGAGCACACAAGUUGUGUUGCCAAAGAAUAUAUAUAUCAAAACCAUCUCACAGGAAAUAGGCAUUUCGGCAUGUUACAAGAUCUUUUUAAAUGGUUCCUUUCUUCAACAAUCCCAAACUCUGGGCUGCUCUAGGAUUAAAUAUUUUCGUGCUCUGAAACUGAGGAAUAGCAGCUGAAUGUAUCACCUCAGACACACAAGCGCCACUACAAACACUGUUUAUCUGGAGUUCUGAGUCAUAUUUCAUAGCUCCAAAAGGUUUAUCUAAUCAUUAUCGGACCAAGAUGCUUCAUCCCCAAUUAAAAGUCAAAUGGGAUUCGGCUGUUAGCAUCCAUCUACAUCGUUAUUCUCCAAUGAAAGCCAAGAGAGAUCUACAGACCUCUUACAAAUGAAUGGAAUCAGAACCCUACAAAGCCUCCAUUUGGUAUCAAAAUUUCUUCAAGGAUUGUCGAUGCAAUUUACCUUUACUCAUGUUGAUGAUUCUUUUCUGUUGCAAUCUUAAGCAAAACAACCUGCAAAGAUCGUUUCCAUUGUUGAAAUUACCACAAGUUCACAGAAAAAUCUAUUGACAUUAUUUGAAUCUAAAUGGUAAUGGGUACUGCCAUUACCUUCUUCAACUUCCAAGUUUAUCUUGUGAAUAUGGAGCCGUUGCCAUAAUAUUAAAAUCCACAGAGAAUGAAAUUGCAGCCUGGAAAUACCAAACCUGAAGCGCAAACAAGACAAAUAGUAAUCAGGUAUUGAGAGCACCAUGUUAGAGGUUUACAUUUGAUUUCAACGCUGGAGCUCUUCAUCCUCCUCCCAAUGUGAGGUUCCUUGGACAAAUCAAAGCUUGCCCCUUUCAUCCUCAGUUCUUGAAUGCAUCUUGUAAGUGCCCUGCUAUCGUUUCUCUCUCUCUGCAACUGCCUCCAAACUUUCCAGUACCUGUAAAGCUUAACCUGAACCAGAAACACAAACACAAGUGAAGUCGACACUGAAACAAUGGAUGGUAUCCACCAUUUCUUGCAAGUGUGGUGUUCUUUGGCACUAACAGAAGAUGUAAACAAAAUGUUGAAGAAAAACCCAUGAAAGAUAAAAAAGAAACAACAAAAUUGAAAAAUCUCUCUUUUGAUAGAGUACAGUCUAGAUUCUUUAAGAGCAAUUCUGCGGGCAAAAAGAUGUUCCUCUCUUUGCCACAACUUGAGAAGCAAAAGAUGGCCUGGACUCUGAGAGAUCUCCAUGAGUGGAUGGUUUCGGAUUGCUGUGAUUGUGUCCAAAGCACAUGAGAGCUUCUGUUGAUGCUCUUCAUCUACUGGGAUUUCUACGAUGUGUGCAUCUUUCAUUUCAGCCAUGACAGAAAAAUAAAAACUAUAUUUGCAGAGGAAACAAAAAAUUGAACACUGAUGAUUGUAUUAGGAUUAGAAAACAGGAGAAGAAGUAAAUAGAGAGAUUGAGGAUUUGCAGAUUAGAUUGCAUUUUUGUUGUGGCAAAUGAGAUAUUUAAAUUGGUUAGCCAUAAACGACUCAAGACUGAUAACGGUAAUAUUUGACAUUCCAACGGUCAGAUUUUCUUUCCGUAAAUCACAUUUCAUAUUUGUAACGGUCACUCCUCUUUUAUUUGGGCUCUACAAAGCCUCUUAAAUACAAAGCCCAAAUUGACAAGAGAGCAAGACCAAAAUUCUAAUUGAAUUGAAGGAAAGGUCUGUAUUUUAAUAGAAAAAUCUAUUUUUUUUUUUUUUUUUGUGGUUAGUCUGGGAAAUAAACGGCCAUGGUUGUUUAUAAAAAACAACUGAUUUUAGCAAAGCUAUGGACUCUUUCUAGUUUCUACUUUGGGAGUAUUCCUCCAAGCACUUCCAACGAAAAAGAAAAAAAAUUAAAAAAAAUCCAUAAAUUGACAUAGCAGUCGAGUCUAUUUCAUUUCAUGUUUCUUUUGGUGGCAGGGUGAUAUAUAUAUAUAUAUAUAUAUAUAUAUAUGCAGAAUCAUUCCUUGCUAUUCCGACCGUUCAACCCAAAGUGGAUAUCAUAUGCAAAAGAAACAAAAAAAAA
RNAcentral lists this long non-coding RNA (79274 nucleotides) under Durio zibethinus. RNAcentral describes it as "long non-coding RNA (DZIB_LNC001296)". Lineage: Eukaryota; Viridiplantae; Streptophyta; Magnoliopsida; Malvales; Malvaceae. The record is from RNAcentral.